AAAAACCAACUUCAACAUGCAGCCUGGAACCUCGGUGCAACUCUUUACUGCAUGUCCUGCAAUUGCUCAGAAAAGAAGACAUGGACAGAAGAAGCUGACAAUGCAGGCAUUAUGUCAGAAACCUUUGACUAUAAAAGUGGUAAAGGAUAUUCCGAGUUCAGCUAACUCCAACGUCAUGCAGGCAGCUGGACCAAAUGUGUCACAAGUUGUUGAAGAAAACUGUUGGGUUUCUCUUAGUUUAUAAGACAACAGUGCAGCGGUUCCACCACCUAGGAAGUGCCCAACGAUCUAGCCUCUGUUGUUACAAGUCUGCAUAAACUACCCCCAACACAGCUUCUACCCUCAUAUCAGAAAUCCUNNNNNNNNNNNNNNNNNNNNNNNNNNNNNNNNNNNNNNNNNNNNNNNNNNNNNNNNNNNNNNNNNNNNNNNNNNNNNNNNNNNNNNNNNNNNNNNNNNNNNNNNNNNNNNNNNNNNNNNNNNNNNNNNNNNNNNNNNNNNNNNNNNNNNNNNNNNNNNNNNNNNNNNNNNNNNNNNNNNNNNNNNNNNNNNNNNNNNNNNNNNNNNNNNNNNNNNNNNNNNNNNNNNNNNNNNNNNNNNNNNNNNNNNNNNNNNNNNNNNNNNNNNNNNNNNNNNNNNNNNNNNNNNNNNNNNNNNNNNNNNNNNNNNNNNNNNNNNNNNNNNNNNNNNNNNNNNNNNNNNNNNNNNNNNNNNNNNNNNNNNNNNNNNNNNNNNNNNNNNNNNNNNNNNNNNNNNNNNNNNNNNNNNNNNNNNNNNNNNNNNNNNNNNNNNNNNNNNNNNNNNNNNNNNNNNNNNNNNNNNNNNNNNNNNNNNNNNNNNNNNNNNNNNNNNNNNNNNNNNNNNNNNNNNNNNNNNNNNNNNNNNNNNNNNNNNNNNNNNNNNNNNNNNNNNNNNNNNNNNNNNNNNNNNNNNNNNNNNNNNNNNNCCCCCCCAUUCAAUAAAGUCCUCAGAAUCCCUGUUCAAAGUUGUUCUUGUAAUAAGGUUCAUCAUUUCUUCCUCUACACUAGUUUCCCACUCAAAUCUAGUCCUUCUCCAACCUAACCUCCAUGACCAACCUAACUCCCCCCACGUGCCUACCUCACCCACCAAUUUUCCUUGGUCUAGGGAUAUGGUAUAUAGUCUAGGAAACAGAAAUUUGAGCUUAUUAUUGCCCAACCAAGUAUCUUCCCAAAACCUGAUUUUGUCCCCGUUUCCCACUUUCCAUGAAACAUGGUUACGGAACCAACCCUCACCUUCUCCUUCUUCACAUACCUUUCCGAGAUCAUUCCACCACCAAGAAUAAUUUUUACCACACCCUUGAAAAUUAACCAAACCAUUAUAGUACUUAGAUACCAAGAUCUCCUUCCAUUUCCCUUCUUCUUCACUCAUCAUUCUCCACUUCCAUUUUGCAAGCAAAGCCCGAUUAAACUUCUUAAUAUCCUUGACCCCCAAUCCCCCUUCCUCCUUUGAUUUGCACACAUUUUCCCACCGAACCCAGGCAAUGUAUUUGCUAUCUUUGCCCCACCCCCAAAGAAACCUCCUCUGAAUACUGGAAAUCUUAUCACAAACUGCAGUUGGUGCUUUAUAGAACGACAAAUAGGAUAUUGUGUAAACAUUGUUUGAUACAUGUGGUAGACCUUUUAUGCUCUUUACUAAGUCAAUCAUCAUAAUAUAAAUUAAUAAUUAAAGUAUUUUAAACAAAUAUUAAGAGCUUCAUGUGGAGUUUUAAAUAAUGACUUUAUCGAUCUUCAUAUCUACACGAUUCUGGUAUAAAAUAAAAUGUUAACUUUAUGAAAAAAAAAUAUGUUGUUUGAGUAAGAAAUUUUAAAGAAAUUGAAAUUUUAUAAUUUUAUGAGAGUAAUUGGAUAAGUUAAAAUUAGAAAAAUUUAAAUUCUAUCCACAAUUUAAGAAUUUAAAGUUUUUCAUAUUUAUCAUAGUAAUGUAUAUUCUUUUUGUAUUCUCUUCUCAACUUUUUUUGGACUGUCACAAACACUAUUAAUACUAAGACAUUGUUAGGAUGACCAAUUUUCGUUUGAUAUUAGUUAGAUUUCUUUCAUUGAUUUUGAUAACAUUUACUUUUUAAUUAAAUUGUUAGAAUUAAUUUUGUUGUUUUAGAUAAUUUCGUGCUCAAUAAUAAUAAUAAUAAUAAUAAUAAUAAUAAUAAUAAUAAUAAUAAUAAUAAUAGGAGGAACUUCCUAGCUUCAGGACCAAAAUUUGUGCAGAAACAAUUUUAUUUGGUCAAGUUCUUCUUAAGAAGGAGAAUUCAGCUUUAAAAUUCUGGUAAUUGCUGCAAUUCUGAUUAUAAUUAUGCAGAGCAAUGCCUAUUUGUUCUGAGAGUAUUGAAGGGUUUAUUUUAUUUUUUAGCUUUAGCUUUAACUUUUAGCUCUAGCCAAAUAGUGUAGGCAUUUUUUGGUCUGCUUUGAAAAAGAGUAGGUUGACAAUAAAUCCUUAUUGUAAGGGUUGAAAUACUCUUAAAAAGUCUUAUUCUAGUUUAAUUUAUUCACUGUUAAUAAAAAAUGUAAGAGUUUUGUUAAUCAAUAUUAAAGAGAUUUCUAUUUUAUAGAUAUUUUUUUCAAAUGACGUUUAUCUUAGUUAUUUUUGUAAUUAGAUUUGAAUUCUCAUAAACAUAGUCAAAUAUUGAAUCCAAACAUAAAAUUAUGUUAUUUUCUUUUUCAUUUAUAAAAUAGAGGUAUUUUUAUUUUGACAAAUUACUCUGCCUAUAAUGUAAAAUGUUUGGAAAGUAACAUGAAAGAUAUUUAUGAACAAAGUUUUAGGCAGUAGCAUGAAAAAACUGAUCUUAAUAUUUCAAAAAAAUAUCAGCUAGUCAUUUGACUUAUUAAAGAAAAAAGAAAAAAAGGAGGGAAUACAAAUAUUUGUCUUGUGAUGAGAAAUUAUAGGUGAAUUCUUCUUAUUUAUAUAUAAUUUGAACAAAAAAUUGAAGGCAUGAGAAUUUAUUUGCUGAUAAGUGGUAAGGAAUGACUUAGUUACUUAUCUUUUUAUUAUUAGAAUACAUUUCCAUUGAGUCUAAUCCCCAACAAUUGGAUAAAUUACUUAUGAGUCUAAUAAAAAUAUUAAAAAGUUUACUAUCAAUGUCAUCUAACGAUUCGUAAUUGAUGAAAUAUUUAUUUUAAUUAUUUUGUGAAAAUCAAAUUUAGGGUUAUUCGUAUUUUUUGUGAAUGGAAUACUUGUGUGAUAAAUUGGUUAAUUUAAGAUUUAUUCAUAAAGAAUCUUUUUAUUGGUAUAACAUACUAUCAUCUAGGUUGUUCUUAGAAUUCUUUAUAAAUAUGUAUAAUUUAUCUAUGUAUCAUUUUUGUUAACAUAUGCGUUUUAGUCUAAUCUUUUCAUAUUUUUUUUUCUUUUUUAAUAAUACUUUUUGUUUUCAUGCAAUGAUAAAUAAUUAAUGUUACUUGAUGUGUAAAUAUAGCUCUAAAAUGUCAAAUUGCAUAAUGAUGUUUAACAUAAAAGUUUUUAUUUAAAAAUUAAUAAAAAUAUUAAACACAUCAUUUUGUAAUGUUUUUCACUUACAUAAUAUUUUUUAUUGAAAUAAAAAAUAAAAUAAAUAAGAUUAUAUGCCAAUAUGCAAUACCUUAUAGGCGUUUACAUGUUACACUUUGUCUUUAUUUCCCUGCACACAUCACAUCCCAACUGAGUUUCCAAUGUCAUUUAACGACACAUGCAUAAUUCACAAUAUAACCAACAACAAACUGUUUUCAAACCAUAAAUUUUGUAUUUACCAUCCUAUUCGCACCAUUUAAUGAUUAUCUUAUUUAUUUAUUCCUUAUUUAUGAUACAUUUGUCCAAAAUACUUUUUUUCCCAAAUUUUUAUUAUGAAUUUAUAAUGCUGGAUUAUAUGGGUGAUCAAAAGUGUCUGUUUAUCCGCACUUUUUUUUAUUUUUAUAAUUUAUAUAUAAUUAUUUUUAAUAUUAAAAUUGAAUAAAUGAUAUUAUUAUUUACACACUUAUAUUAUCAGUAUAAAUUUAUAGUUAAUUGUUAUCAAAAAAUAAAAAUAGAACCAGUAAUAACAAAUAUGAAAUUAUAAGUAACUAUUCAGUAAAAAGUGAAAAAAUAAUAAUAUAUUUUAUUCAAAUUGUUUCGUAAAUAAAUUAACAGUUCUGCUGAUUGAAAUGAUUCGUAAAUAAAAUGAGAAACCGUUAUGCUGAUUCAAAAAAAAAAGCAACAAAUAGAAAAUUAAAUUCAAAACUGUCUACAAAAUAACGUUAUUUUGGAUAAUUCUCUUUAUAUUUAACUGUUCUUUUAAAAAAAAUUAUAUAUAAAAAAACCAGUUACAAAAUAAUAAAAAUAAUAAUAAAAUAGAAAUAAAAUAAAAUAUUAAUAAAAUGUAACUGAUUUUGAAAAUAAAUCAAACCUCUCUUUCAAUUCAUAAUUGUCCCUCCACAUCUCUUUUAAUUCAACACCACUCUUCCACCUCUCUUUCAAUUCAAAACCGUCUCCACUACGUAUACCAAAUAUUGUAGAAAAAAUAAGAAAUGACACAAUGACCAUAAUACAAUAAUAAAAAUAAAUAUUAAUAUAAGGAUAAAAUGGGAAAAAAAUGAAGAGCAGUUAAGAGGGGAAUCCCCUUUAUAUAUAGUUAUAGAUUAUAUAUAUAUAUAUAUAUAUAUAUAUAUAUAUAUAUCGUUAAAAAAAAUAUUAAGAUAAAGAUACNNNNNNNNNNNNNNNNNNNNNNNNNNNNNNNNNNNNNNNNNNNNNNNNNNNNNNNNNNNNNNNNNNNNNNNNNNNNNNNNNNNNNNNNNNNNNNNNNNNNNNNNNNNNNNNNNNNNNNNNNNNNNNNNNNNNNNNNNNNNNNNNNNNNNNNNNNNNNNNNNNNNNNNNNNNNNNNNNNNNNNNNNNNNNNNNNNNNNNNNNNNNNNNNNNNNNNNNNNNNNNNNNNNNNNNNNNNNNNNNNNNNNNNNNNNNNNNNNNNNNNNNNNNNNNNNNNNNNNNNNNNNNNNNNNNNNNNNNNNNNNNNNNNNNNNNNNNNNNNNNNNNNNNNNNNNNNNNNNNNNNNNNNNNNNNNNNNNNNNNNNNNNNNNNNNNNNNNNNNNNNNNNNNNNNNNNNNNNNNNNNNNNNNNNNNNNNNNNNNNNNNNNNNNNNNNNNNNNNNNNNNNNNNNAUUAUAUUUAUUAAAUUAUAUAUUAUUUUAAAAAUUAGUAAAAUUAUUUGUAUUUAAAAUGAUUUUUAUUAUUAAUAAAAUUUACAAACUAGUUUUUAAAUUGGUAUCUAGUUAGCUAUUAAAGUUUUAGUUAAUAACUAUUUUAAAUUCUAAAGUUGGUAGCUAAAACUUUGAUAGUUAAUUAGAUACCAAGUUAAAAAUUAUUUAUUAAUAAUAAAAAUUAUUUUAAAUAUUAAUAUUUUUUUAGUCAAUAUAGUAAUUAAUUAUAUUUUAUUUUAAAAAUUGAUUUUCAUUUAAUGAUUUAUUUUAGGGUAUAUAUUAAUGACAAUGAAGAAAGUUGAAUUCUAAAAAGUUAUUUUUCUUGAAUAUUUUCAGAACAAUAGUACAAUUAUUUUUAUUUAUAAGGGAUAAUUACAUUAUAUUUAUUAUUUAAUUAUAAUCUCAAUUUUUCUUCUAAAAUAUAAAAACCUUGGAGUAAGUACAUUUAUAUGUAUAUAUACAUACAUACACGAAUACUUUUGUGAAUUAUUUCAGCUAUCAACGAUAUUUUUUCUUUUAUAUAGAAAGGGACAUCCAACCAAAUUCCAUAACCAUGAGCAUUAAAGAAUGUAUUAAAUAUUUACAUUCACAGCAAAGUUUCUGGAUUUUUAUAUGUAUAUGAAAAUAAAAAUAAGAGUAGUGUUCUCCUCACUUUUUUUUAUCAAAUAUUUUAAUUUAGUUUGCCAAGAAUGGUAAAAAUGGAAACAUGGAUAUUAUUGCUGUGUUACAGAGUGAAUAGCAUGACUUGAAGACUAACCUUAAAAACCCGAAGGAAAGGUGCACAUCGAAGGGAGACACAUCAAACAUUACUAUUAUUGAUUGUGCUUUAAGGGCAACCAAACUGGGGCCUUAUUCCUUCCACGUAAAGCACAAUUUGUCUCUUCUUAUGGUUCAUGCACACCCAAAUCACAUACUAAUUCAGUUAGAGCUAUUUGGCGCCUAAAUUUGCAUGAACCAAUUGAAACACCGUCUCUUACUGUCACAUUUUCUCUAAGCACCCCAAUCUCUGUCCUAUUCCUUACAAUUUGUCACAGGCCCCAUGCACAACAUUGCUGCCAUAUAUAUAAAUUCCACAUGUUCGAUGCUGCUACUGCAACCACCAACCAUAUAAUGGGUCAUCAAGGAGAGUACACCGAGCCAGAUAUCCUAGGUUCUGUCAUUGUUGCACUCAAAGUGUUUAUUUUCAUAUUCCUCAAACUUUUCAACACAAAUUAUUUCUGGGUUUUACUUUUGCAGAUUUAUCAUCAGAGAAUUGCCAAGGUUUUGAGUUUAACAGCAGUACUUGGCUUAGUUCAACGUUGGACUCACAAAAGGUUUAUCUUCUCUCUAGUUUCAACAGUUACACGGUUGAAUUUAACUCCGACUAAGAUUUUAAAUUGCAGUUGUGAUAUCAAUGUGGUUGCAUUCGUUGUUUUCUGAUUAUUCCAUCGUUGAUUUGAACAACAGGAAAAAACUGAAAACCGCAAAAGGGAGUGGCAUGACAAGUGUAACAUCGUUCCUAUUUCGGCAGAGGAGUUGAAGAUACGAAGUGAGCUUGGAAUGGAGAUUGAAAAUGACUUGGAAAAAGAGAUCAAGGAGGGUAUAUACCAGCUUGCUCUUCGGUUGCACCGGAUUUACCAGGAGAGGAAGGAAAGAAGUGCAAAAGAAACGUUUGAAGUUGACAAUAACCGAGGUAUAGCAGUUUCUGAAGUUAACAUAAGCAUAAGAAUGGAAGGGAGAAGUAAAGUUGAAAUAAGAGAGGUGAAGAAUGAAGAAAAGGAUGGUCCUUUUCUACGGAAUUUUAGGCCACAAAAUGUGAAGCAAGUGAAGAAGGUUGAUUGGGUAAAGACUCUGAGAGGAGGUUCAAGCCCUGUUUGUGGCAGCAGAUUAUCAAGUGUGAGCUCAAAGCACAAGGGGAAAAAGCUAAGCACAGACCCUAAUGGUUUAUCCAAUUGGAAAAUUCACGGUGGGAGGGGAAAGAAAGUUGGUUCCUUUGGGCUAGUAAAACAGAAUGCAAGUGUGGACAAGAAGAUACUUCAAUUGGGGUGGAAGGUCUGAAGGGCUUGUUUUUUUAUUCCUGAAUUUUAUUUUGUUUUGUUUGCAAAAAAUAAUUUUACACUUUUGAAUAAUUUGUAAGCUCAAUAAAUUUUUAUGGAAUAAAUUAUAAAUGAUUCUGAUAUUAUAUUAAAAAAUAAAUUUUGCUUUCAUUAAUUUUAUGAAAGUAACUUAUAAAGUAAGGUAUGAAACUACUAAUAUAUUGUUAAUUUUAUCUCUAAUUUUUGCUAAACUUCACUUUUAAAGAAGACUGGGCUAAUUACCGCAUUUUGUUGCAUGACACUAUAACCUUGUCACAAUUAGUGGCAUGAGAAGACAAAAGGUCUCCAUGUUUGAGACUUGUAUAUUGAACUCUUUACCACAAACACCAUUGUAGAGACACAUUUUAUAAUUCACCUCCUUCAGUUUCCUCUAAAAUAUAUGUUGCAUCACAUACAAUAGUUAAUGCCAUCUUAAUGAAUUGUAGGCUUUUUUUUAAAAUUAACCUUUACAUUUUAUCACCUACUACCUAAUGGGUGAUAAACAACAUUUAAAUAAUCACUAGUACAAAAUGUAUAAACAACGAUUAUUUAUUUAAUACGAUUUUAGGGUUAGUUGUAAACUCGAUAAAUUUUUUUAAAUUAAUUUCAUUUACUAAUGUGCCUAUUUGUAAUAGCUGCAUUCUUAAAUCAAAACACAUGAUUUAUGAAUGCGACUAUUUAAAUAGUCGCAUUCUUAAUAGCCGCAUUCUUAAAUCAUUUUUUACCCUAAUUUUGAAGCGCGUCACUUACGCUUUUUCUUUGUUUAUGUUCUGGUGUUCCUCUCUUCAUGCGAGUUUCAUUGUGUUCUCGUACCAUUGUAAGUUCGUUUCAAUUCGCUCUCUUUCUUCUUCACCAAUGGUUUAUAAAUUUUUUUCAUUUCACUUAUUUGUUUGUUUUCUUGCAUUGGCGAAGGGUUCUUUGACGCUUCAUUUUCUCUUUUGUUUUUGCUCUCUCGUGCUUUCUCUCGUUUUCUACGAGCCUUCAUUGUCUUCUUUGUGCAAUUGUAAAUUCGUUUCGAGUUCUUUUUCUUCUUCACCAUUGGUUUAUAUAUAUUUUUUCGUUUCUCUUAUGUAUUUGUUUUCUUGUAUUGACACUGCUUCAUUGCCUGUUGUUUGGGUUAUUGUUAUGUCGUAUUUGCUCGGUUGUUGUUGCUGCCACCGCUAUUGCUGCCCUUAGGGUUUAGGGUUUUUAUUUUUAUUUUUUUAAAAUAAUUAAAUAAAAAUGCGGCUAUUUACCAUAGCCGCAUUUAUAAAUCGCAUUUACGAAUGUGGCUAAAUAGGCGCACUUGUAAAUCUCUUAUUUAAGAAUGCAUGCUGAUCAAGUGCGGCUAUAUAGCCGCGCUUAUAAAUGUAAAAUAGCCGCAUUCAUUUUGCCUUUCUGCACCAGUGAAGAUUAACUUAUACAAAAAAAAAAAAAAACCGUUAGUAUUCAAAAGUAUAGAUUUCAUGAACAUAUUAUUUUUAAGAAGAAUUUCCAUAAAAAAUUAUGUUAAUUUUUAGUAUCACUACAAGAAAAUCAUGAAAUAGAAAUCAAUUUUAUAGAUACAAAAUAAUUAAUUGUUAUAGUAACUAAAUUAGAGAUCAUUUUAGAGAUUAAAAAAUAUUUUGGUUUAUAAAUUAGUUUCUAUGCUAAAUAGUUUCUAAAUUGGUAUCUAAUUAACUAUCAAGAUUUUAACUACCAAUUUGGUAGCAAAAACUUUGGUAGCUAAUUAAAUACUAAUUUAGAAACCAUUUAACCAUAAUAGAAACUAAUUUAGAAAUCAAAAAAUUUUCUAGUCUCUAAAAUGGUUUAUAAUUUAAUUACUAUAACAAUUAAUUAUUUUUUGUCUCUAAAAUUUGAUUUUUAUUUUAUGAUUUUCUGUAUGGUGUAUAAAUAUCACCUAUGAAACAUUUCUACUUAAACCCUUGAGAUUUAUUUAUGUUUGUCAUGUAUUCUACAAUUACAUAUAUAUUUUACCUGUCAGCAAUAAUUUUUAAUUCAAUAAAUGAACGAUCUUCUAAUAUUAUUAAAUAAUGAAGAUCACAAUUUUAAAUUUAUUUUCCAAACCCAAUAAUAAAAAAAAUUAACUUGUGGAAAGUUAGCAAAAUUAAAAAUAAAUAAUUAUUAAAAAAAUUUAGUUACUAACUAUAUUAUAAAGUUAGAUAAUUUAUUACAUAUUAAUUUAUAAACUAUUUAUUAAUAAUAAAAACUAUUUUAAAUAUUAUUAAUGUGUGUAUUGUCUAAAAUAAUAUAUAAUUCGAUUAAUAUAAUUAGUUAGUUUAUAUUUAAUUAUUUUUUUUUGUAUAAUUAGUUAUUACAAAAAUUCAGUAUACUUAUUUUAAAUCGAUUUUCAUUGCUGAUACUUUGAUUACAUUUAUAUCCAUAGUAUUAAUUUCCUGUGGCAUUUUAUCAUAUUUUCAUAUCUUUACAGUUUAUGUUUUAUGAAAAAAAAUAUUAAAUAUAUUGUUAGUUUCUAACAAAAAUUGCUUUAGUUAGUCUUCUCUUCUAAAAAUAUAUACUGAUAGAGAAUAAUAAUAAUAAAUUAUCUGCAUAAUAUAAAGGGAAAAUUGAAAAAUAAUAAUUAAAAUAAGUAAAAUAAAAUAAAAAUAUAUUUAAGCUGAAAAUAUAAUAUAUUGUUAUUAUUUAUAGGACAAAAACAGCAUAAGGGGUCGUAUGAUGAUUUGAAUACGGACUAAAAUGUGGAGCAACCAACGGAGUCCUGGUCCACACAUUCAACGUCUUGUCUGUCAGAAGGGUCUUGCAUUCUAUAGCUCUAUCCUUGUGACAAGACUAUUCGUUAAAAUUGCACUAUCAUUAUACAUUAGGCUAUAUAUUUUUGUUUUUCAAAAAUUGAAAUUUGAAUUUAUAUAAGGGUGCAUUUAAACAUAUUGGGGGUGCAGAAUGCAGAGCCCCUGUGAAAAAUGAUGGGUCUUGGAAGGCCCGUGAUAUUAGAAAAGAAAGGCCAAGUGGGAUGGGAAAAAGUGAGAAAGGCGUGUUUGGUAAGUUGGGUUGUAAUUAAAGAAAUGCAUGUGGUGAAUUGGUAUUUAUUUGAAUGAUAAGGAAAAGAUAGAGUGAGAAUGUGGGGGCAUAAAGAUUGGUGUUGGAAUGAUUGUGAAAGGAAAAUAAGAUUGUUUGGAUAUUGGGAAGCAGUAGGGACGGAAGGUUUGAAGGUGAUGGGUGUAAUUGGUAAGGGACACAAGGUAAGCUCACAAACCCAACUUCCUUCCAAACUUUCUCCUUUUUCCUUUCGAAUCAUCAAUUUUUCCUUUGCCAAAACUUUCUAAUCCCGAACCACCUUUCACUUCACACUUUUCAAAUUAUUCUUUUCCCUUAACUACAUCCUUCUUCUACUUAAUUAUGCUCAAUUCCUAAACCCUAACUUCACAUCUUCUUUCAACAAUAACAAUCACUCAACAUGCUCAAUUAUUUCAUUCCAACUCUAUAACUGCACUGCUGAAUAUAUCAGUACUGGGAAAGAAAUUAUCAACUCUUGUUAAUUAUACCACUUCAGUUUGGUUUACAUUAUAUAUUCGCAAACACAUAGAAAUUAAAGGAGAAAUUUGUGUCAAGAUGGCAUCCUUCACUAACAUGUGUUUCCAAGAGUUAUGCUAAUUAACAGGUGUUUUCAAACAUACUUUUUAAGGAAUUCUAAAAAAAAUUGUCUUUUUAUUGAAUUUCACACUGGAGUUCAAUUCAAUGUAACAAUAAAAGUAUAUUCCAAUAACAGACCUUCAAAAAUUUUAAUCUUUAAUUUCUUGACUAGAGUAUAUUGACAUUCUCCUUUACUCGAAUUGAAAAUUCUUCUCUAUAAAGUUUUGAAUAUAUUAUUUUAUUUUAUAUAUGUUAUUGAUUAUCGAACUUUCAUGUUGCUUUUGGUCUGCUCUACCUAGCUGUACAAAGCAAUGAUACUUUCGUAUGUAAAUAUUCACAUCAUAUAUAUAAUUUAUCCUUAAGAACAGUUAUUAUUUAAUAAUAAUAUAAUAACGUAAAAUUAAUAAAAUUUCUCUAAUGGAGAAAAAUUAAUAACCCUCACAACGACGGAGCUUAAGAUGAUGUUAUUUUCACACAUAAUUUUUGUAUAUUUUUGUUCAUGUCAUUUGACUUAUUGCUAUGAUUAUUGGCUGCAGAAUUAGAACUUUAUAACUGACGUUUUUCCCGGAAGUAUAGUAAACCAUUUCUCUUUGAUUGUGUUAGCUAUGCGUGUUCAUUUCUCUUGAAAAGUGGUUAUAAUUAGCGAAGAUGAUGAGUGUGUGUUGCAUAGAAAGAAAGCAUGAGAUGUGGGAUGAAAUUAAUGAGGAUAUUAGAUGAAGUGAUGGUACGUAGUUGGUGAAGUGAAAAAAAGGCAUGGGUGGUUGUGGUGUGAGUUGGAGGAAGAAUAGGGUGAUUUGACGGGCAUGGAGGUUUUGGGAAGAGAUGGGAAAUGAAUGAUGGAAGGGAUAAUAUAGACAGUAUCCGUUAAGGUAGGAGAGAUACGGGUAUCUUAUCUCAUCUCAUCUCAUCUCAUGCAAUGCAAUGCAAUAACCAAAACUUGCACCAAAGGAUUACAUUACAUUACAUUGUGUGGACCACAGUGGAAGCACGCAGCUUUAACUGAUGCUCAAGACCCCCAAAACAAGCAAAGCAUCUUAAACGUGUAAUAGGUAAUGCCCAGGCUUUGGACUACUUAAGAAGCAAGCUGUCCAUAAAAGCAUAAUAUCCUGCUACUAUUAUUCAAACAUCUACACUUUCAUUCUUUCAAUUACCAACCUUACAAACUACCACACUUCUCCAUCUUUCCCCAACUAAUCAACCAGGUCCCCCUUUUACCAUGCACAUUAAACCUCAUCCAUAAACCUACAAACAACCCUCACUUUACAUUCAUCAACCACCUUCUAUAUCUACACUUCUACUCUUACUUCACCUUUUUAAGUACCAAACACAUUCUUAAAUGCAACACCUUCAACCAUCAUUCUUACACGUCACUCAGAUUCUACUCAUACUAAUAGAUUCUCUCCCCCAUCUCUCUCUAAACCUCACUCAUGCUUCACUACAACUCUCAUACCUGCUAGCUGCACCAAUAAAUAAAUAAAUCAACCUCCUGUCCCUAUUUAACUAUUUAUUCUCUGUGUUUAUUUAUAGUUUCUUCAUACAAAGCAAAAAUAUCCUUUUCCAACUCGAAAAACAGAGAUAAUACGGAAGGAAAUUAAAGUCACAGAAAAACUGUCAUGCAUUUCUGAAUUUACAUUUACCCCACUUCAGAAUUUGAGUUUUACAGCAUUUCUUCCCAGCAUAAAAGAGAACAUAACAAAAUAAUUCCUCUCAAACUUCAGAUAACUCACAUGCAAUAAAAUAAAAAAAUUAAUUACAACAGUCCCUUUCCACGCUCAGACCCAGGUCAUGAUGAAGAAAGACCCAACCACCAAUAGAAACAAAACUGGUUCCCACUCAACCUCUUCCCCCUCCACAGUGAAUUGAUCAUAUAACAUCUUAAGAAAGUGUUACUGAUUUCUAGCUCGUUUGAGAAAACAACGUCCAAAGAAAUUCAACACAGUGCCGUACAAACAGUCCAAGGGUUACAAACUACUCACAACUAUUCAUCUUACUUCCGAACUAAUGUAUAUUAUCCUUGCAGAGAUUAAGCAAGUCGAACACUGUUAAGAAAGUCAAGAAAUUAAGCUAAAGAAAAUUGAAAAUGCACGAGGGGGAAGCUGAAAUGAGGCACAAACUAGGACGAAGAUUUUUGUCGCUUUUUUCAGUGCGCGGUGUUAGCGAAAGACAUGAAAAACGGAAAAUGCAGGUGGGUGAGAACGCGUACAUUGAUACUACCGAGGAAGUUCCUGCUUCCUAGUUCCAACAACUGUCUUAGGAUAGAGUUAUCAUAACAUUAUAGACAAACAAAACAGAUGUCAUCUUAAUCAAUUAACCCUUCUCGUCACCUAUAUAUAUAUCUGAUAUCAUCAUCACCAUCCACCAGAAAAAAAAGGUUCCAAACGCGUCACCACCACCACCAUUGUAACAAACUGCAAAAGAAUUCUAACACUAGAACGACAUCAUAAAAAGACUGAUUUUUUGAACUGAACAGAAAAUUAAAUUAGUCCAUGGGCAUCAGCAAUAAUAACUUGAUCUAAUUAACUUACCUACCUCCUCAAACACUAACACAAUAAGAAGAGAAAGAAACCCUAACAAUUUGGGUGGGUGGGUGAGUGAGCUUAAGGGUUGAAGAAGUUUGAACAUCGGAAUUUGCGCACUUUACUAGGGCUUCUUACCGAGAGUGUGCUUGUUGUUAUGCAUCCAAACCUUGAGAACGUGACGCUUCACCCCGGUUUCGUUGCAGAAAGCUUGGACCACACCCUCGUCGUGUUUCUGAAUCCUCCACCCUAGUUUUUCAGCAAGUUCAAGCAUUUUGUCCUUUUGCUCCUGCGUGAACUUUGUUCUGAACCGUUUCUUGGACCCCGUUCCUCCUGCACUCGGGUUCGAAACGUCCUCCUGGUCCUCCCGAGUGCUCUGCGUCCCGCCGCCGCCGGACGUCGACGGCAGCGCUAGCGUCCCAGUCACGCGUGCCUGCCCCCCCACCUGAAGGUACCCAGUCGGGGUCCGGUAGUACGCCGCGAACUGCGGCGGCGGAGGGUGGUGCAGGUGGUGGUGCGAAACCAAGAACGGGUCGACACCGCCGACGGAGGCGCCGGCCCCGUCGCUCUCCUUGCGGUGAAAGUUGCGGUGGCAGCUGCAGGCGGCACAUUUGAGGGCGUCGAGGGAACCCUCCGUCCCCGCCGCCAUGAACUCGCCGCAGCCGUCGAGCGCGUGGCCCCCGAUGCCGACAGCGUGGUCUUGAGACACUCUCUGUAGCGCGCCCUCCCGGAGCCACCGUUGGUGCUGGUUCUGACUGGCUGCGCCGCCAUGACGGCCUCCGGGCCGAGCGGAAGCUUCAUCCGGGUGGGGUCGAAAGCUGCGGCACUCAUACACUGCUCCUCCUCUUGGUCCUCUUGAUCCUCGAAUUCCAUUUUGCAAAAUUGGCGAAAAUCUUAAACUUAUGAGUCCUAUUAAUGACAAGUGAUGGGAAAAUCUAAAAGGGGGUCUCAGUACUCUUCUCGCAGUGUUUCUCUCUCUUUGUUCUCUGCUCUCGUCGUGCUUUCUUUGUCCAAAGGUGUAUUCCUUCAUAUACUUUUGCGGUUCUCUGUUUUGGGAGGACACGACAAUUACAGCAUAAUAUACAAAACUCUCUCUCUCGAUUUGUCUUAAGAUCAUCACCUUCCACCGGCUGUUCCGGUCACUCCGUAAUUUGUUCCGUUUUCGUUUUUCACCGCGAUAUUUUUUCACUUUGCCUCACUCUAGUACUACUCUCAUCACUCCAGGACAACUGACAAAAGGGAUCAAUUUUACUUCAAUAAUAUAUCUCAGUUUUUAAUGCAAAUCUUUAUGAUACAGAACCACCACUCUCCAAGCAUAUGUGAACCUCUUUUCCAGUUUUCUUUUUCUCUAUGCACCAUUUUAUAUUACUCAUUUCAUACAAAAUUCAAAUCCACUCCAUAUCUUUUUCAUUUUCCUAGUAUUCAUAACAAGCUGGUCGUAAAAUUAUUAAUAUAACACACUUCUGUGUUUCUUUGCAUAUGGAAGCGAAAAUCAAUUGUGUGAAUAAGUGGGUUUGUUUUGGUAUAAGGUUAUUAACACAACACAUUUCUAUGUGUUUCUUCGCAUAUGAAGUGGAAAUUCAAUUAUAUGGGAUCCACUAUUUUUUAUAUUUUCUUCUUUAUUUCAUUGGUACUAAAUAACAUAGGCUUCAGUCACUUUUCGCAUUUUCAUUUCCUCCUUUUCGUUUCUUCACCAUAAGAAGUGGAAGACAACAAUAAUCUCAAAGAGUGGGUGUAUUGGUGUAUUAUGUUACAAGUGAAUAAUUAAAACAUUUCUACAUAUUCCUUUACAUAUGAGAGUGGAAAUUCAAUUGUGUGGGGACUACUAUUUUUGUUAUGUCUUUCUUCUUUAUAUCACUGCUAUUAAACAACAUAAGCUUACUUUUUCCAUCUCUUGUUUUUUUUUCCUUCUCUUUUUUUCACAAGAGGAAAACAACAACAAACUUAUAUUUUUUACAUCCACCAUAUUUAUUUAAAUGAUGCCAAACAACAUAAAGUUUUUUUCGCUAUAAAAAGAUUCUGAUAGUGACAAUUUUAAGGAUAAUGUUAGCUUCUUUGAUGAGGUUAAUAAAUUUAAACAUUUUUAUGUAGUCCUUUCCUAUAUAAGGUGGAAAAUCAAUUAGGUGAGAAUUAGGUGAGAUCUAUUUGUUAGAUAUUUUACAUCUAUUAUACAUAAUAACAAUUUGGAAACAAUAUUUUUUAUAUUUUUUUCUCUUUAUUUUCUAGUUAGAGAUGAUGUUUUUGUAGAUGGAUAAGGGUACGUAGAUGUUGUGCUUGCAUGUCUCAUGAUGUUUGAUUUACAACUCAUAAUGCGAGUGCUAGGUUAAAGAAUGAUGUUGUUUUUAUAAGGGUUGAGGUGUAUCUGAAAUACCUUCAUUUUUAUUUAUUCUUUUUUUAAGAUAAAAAAUUAUUUUUUGCUCUUUAUUUUCUUAUUACUAAACAACGCAAGCACAUAGUCACUUCUUUGCAUUAUAAUCCACUUUUUUCAUUUCCUUUUUAUGUAGUUACUUCUUUGUAUUUUCAUCCACUUUUUUUCAUUUCCAUUUCAUAAGUGGAUGAUGGUACUAACAAGUUGAAGGAGGAGCUUACUUUGAUAUAAGGUUAAUAAAUUAAUGCAUUCUUUUAUGUUUUUUUCACUUUGCAUAAGAGAGUAAUAUUCAAUGCAAAAUCCACAAUUUUGUUAUAUCUUUCUUUUGUUUCAUUGUUACUAAACAACAUAUGUUUUGUUACUUGUUCACAUUUCAUUCCCUUCUUUUGGCUUACAUCAUGAGAAUAAAAAGACCACGAGAAAUUGAAAGAAUAAGGCUCGUUUGAAAAACGAGCAAUUCACAUUUCUACACAUUUUGCAUAUCAAAGUGAAAAUUCAGUAUUCUUUCAUAUCUUGCCUUUUAGUUUCACUUUUAAUAAACGGCACAAGUUUCAAUUUUUUUUUAUUUUUGGCAUAUUCAUCCCUUCUCAUUUUCUUUUCAUAAAAAGAGGAAGGCGAUGACAAACAUAAUAGACAUUGUUAUUCUGAUACAAAAUAACAAAUAAACACAUUUUUUUUUUACAUUUUUAUCUCUCUUUCUCAAUCUUUAAGAACGAUAAAGAGAUUCAUCCGUUUAAAAUUUAUGGACUACUAUUUCUAACUCGUUUUGCAUAAUUGUGACAUGGGAAAUAGACCUGUGCUUCUUAAAACAAUUAUGGUAAUAAAUAAAAAAUAAAAAAUAAGUCAAAAAUAAUUAAUUGAAUGAAAAAUAGAAAAAAAAUAGUAUUGUACAGAUAAUAAUAAUAAUAAUAGAAGUAAAAAGUAAUCGAAAUAAGAAAAGUUGGAGACAGACGAAAAUCAUGCGACGCGCUUGAGCAGAUGGCAUGAGAAGCACUGAAACUGAGUGCACGCAUUCCGGUGGGUGAAACGAGUGACGUGGUAUGGAAGUGGUGGAAGGGGGCGCGUGGGCGGCGCGUGUAGUUAGGGGAGCUGAAGAAAAUUGGUUUGUUGUUCCCACAUAGGAGGGAUAAGUGAGGGCGGGGCCAGGAGGAGUGGAGUGGGUGUAGGGUUAUAGGUAGGAGGAAGCACCAUUGUACCUUUGCACACACUUAGAUUGGAUAAUAUUUUACUUUUUAUUUUAAUUUUUUGUUCCUACUUUUUCUAAUCCCUACCUUUCUUUUAUUUCUUAGACUUAAAAUUAAAGUCUACAUCUAUGAUUUUUGCAAAGAACAAACAGAAUUUGAGUGAUAGGUACUAGGGUAGUAGUGGUAGAAUGAGUGAUCACCAUUAUUAUUAUUAUUAAUAUUUUUAUUAUUAUUAUUACAUAAGAAAAUAAAAAUGUAUGUUGUCAGCAUCAAAGGCAGCUGUUGCUACGUGCGGUCUUCUCCGACAUGGGUCACGAGCGUUUGGCGUCAUCAUGCACUUACUUCGCUAAACUAAUUCAAAACAAGUCAAUACUCAAGAACUACGUUGCUUAAAAUAACCUCCUUUCACGUAUCAAUUCAUUUUAAUACAUGUACUCUUCUUUUAGCAAUUACUUUAUAACAAGCUUUUAUGGAAAAUUUGUUUGUAAGACAUAAUUAAAUCAUUUUUUAUAAAUAAAAUAAUAAUUUAUACAUGAAUUUAAAAAAAUAACAAAUUCAAAAUAUAAUACAAGUUAAGUUCUACACAUUAGUUUAUGAUUAAACUAAUUUUGAAGAACUUUAUUUUACUUUUUAUUCUUGUUUUAAUCUUUUUUUUUAAGUUAUGAGUCUGCGCAUUGUUCAUUUUCUGAUUGGUAUAUAGAUCCGUUGAUUUAUAUGAUGAUAAUCUCAUGAUAUAUUCCUUUAAGUUGUAUGAUUGUUUGUCUUAAGUGACUUUCUUUAAGUUAAGCUAGCAGAAUUCUAUAUAAACAUACGUGAGAGUUCGUGUAUAAGGGUUGAACCACUAUAAAGUAGUUCAUAUUUAUUCAUUUGUUAUUAUCGAUAAAAAAAAUAAAAGAUAAUUUAAUAUUAAAUAUAAUUGUAAUAUGCUUACAUUUCCCAUAUUUUAAAAUUAAAUUUAGCAGUACUUUAUAAACCUUCUUUAAUUUUAAUUCAUUGAAUUAAUUCUUGUAUUUUAAUUUAUAGAAAUUAUAAUAGUCACAAAAUACCAAAAUUGUAAUAUAGUUCUUCUUUUAAGUGAGAAACUUUAAAAACAUAAUAAUUACAAAAAUAUAUAUUCUAGAUCGGUUAGAUUAAAACUUACCUUUUUACAUUAAUUAUUAGUAGACAUUGAAACUUUGAUUUUUUACCAAAAUAACGCAUAUAUUAAUUUAUCAAUCAUUAUAAAAUAUCAAAAUAAAUAAUGUAAAAAAAUUAUAUUAUAAUAAAAUGCUAUUAUUUAUUUAAGUGACUUAAAUAUCGUUGACAUAGUGUGAUUAAUAAAAUUAAGAUAUAGUGGAUUGUGAUAUCCUGAAUACUUUUAAUUCUAUCAAAUCACGAAUGCAUUUUACCUUUCCCAGCUUCCAACUUCUUACUUUUGAAUAUUUAACUUGCUUGAUACGAUAUUGUUUUGUUCAAGACACAAGAAAAGAAGAAAAUUGAAGAGAAAUGAGUUUGGGAUUUUGAUAGUAUCAUUUUGAGAUGCAGGAAGCAAACAAUGAGUGAGCAUGUCUUGACCUUGUGAAAAAUAACCAGCCAUUGUCUUCCCCAAUCUCUAGGAAAGCACAACCAACCUUACUCAAACAUAACCAAACACGCAUCAUUGUUUUUCCUACACAAUCAUGUUUUUUUUUUUCAGAAUAAUUUUUUUUAAUUUUUUGGAAGCUAGGGAAGAAGAUUAUAUGGUUGAUUUGUGAUUGUCCAAAAAUAUCACUAUUAUUCAAAUCAAAAUACAAAAGAAAAAAAAAAGAGAUAAAAGAUGAAAUUAUGUUUGUUUGCUGAUAUUUAAUAAUAUUUUUUUUAUCAAUAAUAAAUAAAUAAAUAGAAGAUUUUCACUAUAAUUAAUAAUUAAGAUUCUAGAAUCACGUAAAGAAGUUUGAGAUUAUUUGAAAGAAGAAUACGAUGGGAAAAAAAUAAGAAUUGAGAUAUGAGAGCAUUAUAAGAAAUUUUGAAUUGAAUGCGAUGAAAGAGUUAAAGAAAAAUAAAAAAUACUCAAAUAAAUUGUUAGGUAUUAUUAACCGGAUAAAAUUUUGGUAAUGGGGUUGGAGAAUUAUGAAACAUUUAUUACUUCGUUAGAAAACACAAAUAAUUUGUCAACAAUUACUUUGAUAGAAUUGAUACAUUUGUUGCAAGCACAAAAGCAACAAAGAUUAAUAAGAGGAGUCUCUACCAUUACCAUUGAGGGUAAGAUAAAAGUUUUUUCGCAAUCAAGAACUACAAAAGGAGUAAAUACAACAAAAACAAAAGACAUAAAUUUUUCAUCUUGUUCCUACUCCAAAAAAAAUCACCAACAUAACAAAUGUUAAUGAACGCCAAUUGUAAAAUGCUAAGUUGGGAUAUGUGGAAAAUAUAUGCAAAUCCCAAUAUUCAUAAGAAAAUGUUAAGAUUGUAAAGGAAUAGUGAAUUAGAAGACGAACUACUUCUUGCAUUGCAACUGCAUUUGUUACAACCAACAAAUCUAGAAAACAUUGGCUUAUAGAUAGUGGUCUUUACAAAACACAUGACCUAUAAUGAAUAACUUUUGAAAGAGCUUAAUAAAUCAUAUAUUUCUAAAGUAAGAUUUGUGAAUGGAAAAUAACUUAUUGUCGAAGGUAUAUAGAAUUGCAAUUAAAAAUCAUUUAAUUGUCAACUUAAUUUUUGAUAUCUUAUAAAUAAUCGAGAUUAAUCAAAAUUUGUUAAGUGUUGCUAAACAAGGUUAUAAGGAGUACUUUGAAAACAAAAUUUUUGCUUUGAAUUUGAUGAAAAAUGAGUUUGUUACAAAUAAAGAAAAUAUAAAAAAAAGGUCAAAAUAAAAAGAAGAUGAAUAUUUUUUGAAAAAAAUUCAUGUCCAAUAGAAAGUAUACGAAGAACCACAUUCUAACGUCCAUCAAAAGUACAACAUGAAAUUAGUAAUAGACAAAGAAGAUGAGAUUGAUGAAAGAAGAAUUACAAUUUCAAAAUGAAUAAAAAAAAUAUAUAAGAACUAUGAAUAAAAAAGAGAAUAUAUGUCAAACAUUAAAAAAAAUGAUAAUAAAAUUUAAAAUUCAAAUAAAUAAAUAUUAAGAAAAUAAUAAAUAUUGAAAACAUUUACUUAAUAUAUUUCAUUGUUUUUCACAAAAAAGAUAUUAAUUUUUUAAGAUAAAAAUAUACUUGAUAAUAUUUUAAUAUUUAAUAUUCCGUUAAAUAAAAUAAAUCACAAAUUUCUCCAUCUAACAUUUCUCUAUUUUCAAAAUGUCAACAAUUUUUCCUCUUUCAUAGAAUUUAGUUUUUAUUUUAUUAUUCUUUAAUUUUAAUUAAAAGAUUUAGUGUUUUUAUUAGAUUUAUUUAAAAAAAAAGCGACUAAAUAGUCAUUAUUGUCCCGGUAGGACUACUUAUAAGAUGGGUUUUCAACCAAAUUCUUCCUCUCUAUCUUUUAUAUACACCUGCUUUUUAAUUGCACGCCCAUUUAACUUAAAUAACAGAUAAGCUUCUUUUCUCAUAACUUAAUACAUUCUUUUCGUUUUUUCCUCUGUCCUUAUGAGCUUACUUUUCUUUACAUUUUUACUGGUUUCAGUAUAUUACGCGAAGCAUUCAACUAACAGUUAAAUUAGGUAAAUCCGUUAGUAAUAAUCGAUCAUGCUUAAGAAAUAAAUUCAACAGCGUCUAUUACAUCGUACAAAAAAGUUGAUUAAUGGAUUAAUUAAACAAUAAAAAUAAUAAUUAGAAUUAAAAUCGUUAAUAUUUACCCGUGUAUAAUGUUUUGACCUGGGGGGCUGUAACCGAAACUGUCAUGCUUGAAGCUGCUGCUGCUGCUUAUGUCUCGACACAUGAACCUUUUUCAAAUUUAACUACAACGAACAGUACAAAAUUAUUAGAAACUUUUUCGAGUGAAGGAUUUUUUAAAAGUUAUAUAUAAAUAAUUUCCUCAUUAAUUUUAGUACUGUAGAAGUAAGAGUAAUAAAUUAAAAAAUAAAAUGUCUUCUUUCAAUCUUACUUUUGUUUGAUUGGGAUGACAUGACAGGGAAGUGAGUUUGAUGAAAAUUUUGAGGGCCAAUUAUCAAAUUCAAGUAUUAUCUAUUUUAUAGGUCUGUAUUUUGUUAUAAUUUUAUUUUAAAAAAAUAUUUUAGUGAGUUAGAGGAGAGAUGAGUAUAUACAUUAUAGAAAAUAUUGAUGAUAGUCUUUAAAAAAACUCACUAAAUAAUAAUUAGAGUGAAUUUAAUUUUUCUUAAGAUUAACAUUAAUAUUUUUAUAGUGAUAAAUAAUGUACUGCCGGAGAAAAAAAAAUGUGAAGGCAGUUAAUAUUAAAAGGAAUAUGAUGAAUAAAAAAAAAGUAGGAUUGAGAGGAAAGUUACGUCAACAUCAGAUAGAUUUGAUGAAAGAUGAGGAAAUAUAAGCCAUAAUGCAUGUGUUAACUAAAAAUAAGUUGAAGAUGCAUAAUAACAUAUAUAACAUAACAUAGCAAAACAAAGAAGAGAAGAUACGGAUCCCACCCAAAAUUAUUGUGUGUACUCUAGACAGAUCUCUGACUUGUCUAUUUUGGUUGAAAUUUAUUUUGAUGUUUUUGUAUAGAUUGAGAGGAGAUAAAAAGAUAAUAUUUGAUUGAUUUGGUAUUAUCCAUUUUUGUAAUUUUGUUGAUAAGAAAAGGUGAAGUGGGCAGUCUAAUCACAUAAAAAUGUGGGAACGGCCCCCAAUAAUUGAUGCAGAAAGGUCCUUGAUCACCACUCUUUAUUACUUUCAUUCUCCUCUCAACUCACAACUCACGCUAAUUGCAUCCCUUGUCGUUUCGUAUAAUCGCAAACUAGUUAAAAUAGCCAAGCAUUUCAACUUUCAAUUCAUUGAGUCAGACACACUUUAGCCAAAACAAGAUAAACGAAUAAAGCAUCCAACCAUCCUUCAUAUUUUACAACAUCCCAAACUACUUUCUUCUAAUCCUCUUACAACACCCUAAUCACUAACCCCUUCAAAACCCAACCUCCUUUGCUCCAUUUCCUUAUAAGGAAAACCCAUCCUUAACAACAUUUUUUUUCAUCAAUUUCAAAUUAAGACGAAAAAGGGUUUGGGUGGGAAGUUAGAGGCAUUGGUGAAGUGGUAGAUGGACUUCAUCAUGUGAUGCUCCAAAAACAGCCAAAACGGACGGAUAGACGUCUGAUGGGACCUUCUGACACACGCACACAGAGAGUACUCAAUCUCUUUGUCGUGUCGUGUAUGGGUGUUUCACAUUUUUUUUUAUUUUCAUUUUAAUUAAAUAUGUCAACAUAUUAUUGUUUUUCACUUCAUUUAACAUGUAUUACGCUGCAGAUUUGCAUUUUUAUUUUUCAAACGAAUCAUCAUUGCAUGAUAAUAACCAUUAGAGUGUAUAUAUUGUUUAUUUCUUAAAUAAAAAUGAUGGUUUGAUUGGUAUGCUCAGCGUUGCUGUUGUUUACUGAUAUAAUAUAUAUAUAUAUAUAUUUUUUGUUGUGUCAGCUGGCGGGAAACCGCAGAUAGAACAAGACAGAAUGAGAAACAAUAAACUUUUUAUGUGUACUGUGUUGUGUCACCUACCACAACCAUGAACCAAACCAAACCAACAACACAUGCACCACUCUCUCUCUCCGUUGAGUGAUGGCACAAGCCCUUUCUCCCCGUUGAGGUAGAAUGAUGAAGAAAAUAAGAACGGGACGGAAAAGUUGUGCUGUGCCCGUUGAGGUAGCUCCAGGGUGAGAGUGAGAGAGAGAGAAAGAGGGAAUUGCGGGGAAAAGGGAAGUGGAUAGUGACAAGACAAGAAAAAGAAUGGGACGACCGUGAUUUGCAUUUCUAUAUUCUCUUGCAGCUUUUCUCUCUCUCUCUCUCUCUCUUACACAGUACGUACUAAUAACACAAACACACACACUCACACACAUUCAUACACACACAUACGUAUACACUGAAAACUGUGGCCCCCAUACUUGAACAGAACCCCCAGCUUGCUUGUCGCACCACCAUCACCUCCAUCCAUUCAUUCACCAACAAUUCACCUUUUUCUUCGCUUUUUCUCUGCCGUUUCUACUGUUUCUUUCUAUGCUUGCAUAUCAAGUGUAAUCACCUUGCAUUUUUUAAUUCCUAAUAUAUAUAAAUGAGUGUUUGAAAGUCAGAUAUGAUUCUUCUUCCAGUGAGCUUGGCUCACUACGCAAACACACAGUCCUGAACACACAUGUUCUUUCCUUUUCCCCUCUGCAUCUUUUUCACGAAUUUGGGUUUUCUAUCCUAUACAUAUGUCCGCAAGCAAACCAGAAAAAACACUCCUCAGAAGUUAAGAAUCAUCAUGCACAUCACUCCCAUCUCAUCUCGUCUCGUCAUUGCACACCCAUCAUUAGGACCACUUCUUUUAUUUUAUGUCUCUAAUUCACAGAAACAAAGACUAAUCUAAUCAUCUUAAUCUUUUGCUUUCACCCACCAUCUACUCUUAAUCUCGCAUCACCUCAGGCUAACAAAAAAUAUACACUUGAUUCUUCCAUUAACUCCAACAAGGCUAAGCAUCGUCAUUCUAUUUUAUAAGGAUUUCAGUUCAGAUUGCCAAUGUAAAGACUUUGUUAAUAGUGAUUUCAAAACCACUUUUAUAUCAAGUAUGUUUUAACCCUAAUUAAUAAACACUAAAACAACAUUGCUUUAUAAUUCUAUCUUUUAACUAAGUAAUCUAUUAUCUAAAUUUCAACAAUGUUAUUUUAAGUAUGGAAAAAAUCCUGAAAAUAUAAUAUAUAAGUUUGUGCACUGAUGGCCCUUAAUUGCAUUAAAAAACUGCAAACAUCAUUAAAUGAACCACUAAAUUCUAAUACUAUCAGGCUAAAUUUUUCUAGUAAAAAGAGUUGGUUCUAUUAACUAUUCUCUCCUAAGUUCAAAUUCUAAUGUAUGCAAUUUAUCAUAAUUUUUAGAAUUUAUUACAUAAAUAUCCCUUCAGAUUUACCUUAAUUACACAUGCAUCCUUUUAUUUUCAGAAACAUACCAAUGACACUCCUCCCCUGACGAAGUUAAUGGUAUAACGAUCUUAAAAUUAAAAUUAAAUAUAUUUUGAGUUCAUUAUUGUGAAAGUCCUAAAUUGUUCUUCAAUUAAGUUAGAUAGAAAGUUGUGGAUCCCUCAUUUUGUAAAGUCUCUAGUUUGGAUUUUGAUUUUUCUCUCUCAACUUCAUUUACCUUUGAAUGUUUCUCAUGGAUUUAAGUCUGCAAUUUUACACAGAUUUGGGUUUGAACACCUAGUGUUCAUUAUAUACAAAAAAAAAUUAAAAUGUUGAUAAAAAGAAAACACCGAUUAAUAAGGGAAUUGAUGUUUGUGUUUUUCGUUUUCUAUUCUUUUGUAUAUAAGAGUUGAAACAUAACUAAAAUGUUUAAUUUAAUUUAAUUUAUUCUUGUUUGAUAAAAAAAAUAACUGAUUUAUUAGUUUAUUUAAGAAUUGAUGUAGUAGGACAAAUUAUAUUGGUUUCUUAGGUGUAGUAUAUGUGUUUUUAGGUUAGUUUACAACUAUAUGUUCUCUUCAGUUUCCUUCUUUGUGUUGUAUUUUUUUGUCAUCCUUUAUAAAUUCUUUUUUUUUUACACUUCAAGUCUUUAUAAAAAAAUGUACAUUAAUAUAUUUAGGUAUUACAUAUGUUUAUAAAACUGUGAUUUUUUAUGUUAGAAAUAUAUAUUACAUAGAAAUGUAUAUAUUGUAAAAUAGACUAUACAAAUAUAUAUUUAUUUGUUGAUACAAACUAUUUGUUUCUGUAUCUAGAUAAUAAUAAAUAUAUUUUUUCAGUUGACUUAGAGAUUUGCUUAUUGUAAUUGAAAGAUACUCUUUUUUUCUGAUUUUUUGGGAUUAUGCAAAAAAAAAUUAUAAUCUGAAUAAAGAUUGUAACUAGUACCUGUGCAACACACAAACUUUUACAAAAGUCUUAAUUUUAAAUUAUAAUAUUAUAAAAAUAUAAUUUUUUGGAUAUUAUAUUAAAUCUGGUAUUACAAAAUACAAAUAUAAGUCCUUCAAUUAUUAAGAAUAUAAGAUAGUUAGAAGAAAUAAAAAUUUUAUGUAAAAAGGAUAAUUGAAAUUAAUAAAUAUGAAAUUGACAAAAUUUUAAAAAAUGAGAUGAGACAUGGUAAAUAUUAAUAUUUUUGGGUUAAUUAUCUUAUUUUUAAUGUCAAUCACGUGAAAAUACGAAGUCAACACAAUCUUAAUAAGACAUCAAGUUACAACAGACAAAAUAUAAACUUAUAUGAGAGAAUGAAAAUGAGAUAACGUAUGUUUGUUUGAGUUAGGAGUGAUAAUACGGGUUAGUCGCAUUGGUCUAUCUCGCAUUUAACCCACAAAAUAUGGAUCGGGUUGAUCCAUUUCACAAAAGUGACACAAACUGAAUUUGUUGGUCUAUACUGUAUAAGAAUUUUAUUUAUUUCAAUUUUUUAUUACAUAGUACAUUAAACAAUUUAAUAUUUAUACUUAUUUAAGAUUUUGAAUAAUUUAGAAAUUUUAUGUAUUUUAACUUUUUAUUGAAAUAGUUCAUUAAAUAAUUUAGAAUUUUUCUUUAGAGUUGAUGGUUGAAGUAUUUUGAAAUGUUUAAUAUUUAUUUAUUAAUUACUAAUAAAAAAAAUAUUUAUUUGUUGCCUUCUUUUAAAGUGGUACAAUAUUAGAAUAAAGUGUUCAUUUUCUUAAAUGGCUUGAUUUUUUAAAGAAAAGUGGACAUACAAGAACAAAUUUCUUAAAGCCUUACUAGAGUAAAUUGCUCUAAGAUUUUCCAAAAGAAACUUAUUUGACAAUACCGUAAUACAAAAAGGAGAGGUAGCAACAAUUAAUGCGCAGAUAACGACCAUAUUCUGCAAGAGAUUUUAAUAAACUAAAGACAAUAAAAAUUAUGAAAUAUGACAAAAUCAGCCUCGUGUCCUUCUUUCAUAAUUCGAUCUACAUGUUUUGUACCAUUCACUAUUAUGGUAGGCAUUAUAGAUAUAAACAUGAGACAUAUGUUGGAAAUCCUAAAUAUACUAUGAAUAAAACCAAGCCAAAUUGUAAUAUAUUUAAAAACAUAUUUAAAAACUACAGGUCUUAAUAUUAAAAAAAAUAAACAAGAGUUUAAUAUAUGAUUAUUCAUUUGUAAUAAAGAUAUAUAUUUUUUUUUUAAGAAGUGAAGUUUAAAUAUAACUCAAUCUUAUAAAAAUUAGUUUGUAAGUUGAAAUUUGUAGUUAUUUAUAUUUUAUAAAUUAAUUUUAUCUUAUCUCUAUUUAAUAUGAGAUUUUCACAUCAUUCUCACAUUGAAACUGUUAACUCAUUCAUGAGACUAGAUAUUUAUGAGUAGUCCAGUAUUUAGUAGUGAAUAAUACCAUAUAUUUAAUAAACUCUCGUUAUAAUAAACUUUAAAUAAAUCUAAUAUAAAUUUAGAAGUGAAUUUUAAACAUAAUUUAACUUAUGUUGAAUUGUGUAAAAUAAAAUUUACACUAAUUUAUAUAGUAUAAAUUGUUCUUAUCUCUCCAACAACUUUAUUUUAUUUCUUUUUCUUUUUUAGAGAUACUUUUAUUAGGUAUUAUUAUUUGAUUCCAUCUCACAUGUCUAUUUUUGUGUGAUAUUAUUGUAAAAAAUGUAUAAAAUUGAUUUCAUGUGUUGUUUUAUUUUGAAGAAAUUGUAAAGAAAAGAAUGGUGCUAUAUUUGGGGUGACAGGGUGAAAUGGUUGCUCCACUUGCAUCCAGCUUGCACCAAAAUGGAAGAUACCCAGUGACUCUUCACCUGUUCUUGCGUGUCCUCACCCAUCCCUCAAUGCAUCAUGACCACCAUGUGUCAAUUUAUGACAAUCGCAUCAUCAUGUCCCUAAAUUCUUAAAUAUAUGCUUAUCUAGAUUCCAUUUCCUUUUAUUUUUUCCCCACAUUUUCUUAUAUUUCUACCAAUAUACCAUGCUGACAUCCUUUUGAUUUUCCAUAAAUAACGAAUUACAAAAAAUAGGAACACUAAAACUAUAAUUAAAUCUUAUAUUUAUGACUCAAUUUUGGUUUAGGUUUUGAAUUAAGUGAAAAAAAAUGUACCAAAUAGAUUAGUUUUUAGACUGUGUUGGCCGAAUUCAAACCCAAUCAACAAACAUUCGGUUGAUUGAAUUUAAUUUAAUUCAUUGAGCUUAAAAACACUAUUGUUUCUGACAUUUUUUUAAUUUCUAUUGGUAUGCUAUUUUUCAUUCUAGUCCUUUUUUCUAUUGGUAUUCCAAUUUAAUUCAAUUUAAUAUUCUUUGUUAAAGUGGAGUAGAAAAGCAAUAAGAAAAAAAAGGUUAAAAGGUCAAAACAAAAAGCAAAUAUCGUGUCCCUUAAGACAUCAGUAUAUAUAUAUAUAUAUAUAUAUAUAUAUAUAUAUAUAUAUAUAUAUAUUAACUCAGUGAGAUUGCAGUCCACUAUUUCACCAUGUUAUUCUUAAUUAAAUCUAUUUACUUAAAUUUUACUCAAUUAUUUUAAUCUUAGUCUUUAGUUCAAAUUUAGGAGAAACUGAAGUUUGUUUAGUAGUAUUAGUAUUUUCUAAACUAGUUAUUACUUUAUGAUUAAAUUACACUUCUAAUCUUGUAAUUUUGGACCACUCUCUUUUUAAUACAAUUUUUAAAACUUAUAACCGGGAAUGGCUUAAAACCUAAAAUUUAAUUUGUUUAAGAUUUGGCCUAUAACAUUUCUAAGGUUCUUUAAGUAAUCAGUUUAUGGUUGGGUAUCUCUCAAAUGCCAUCAGUUUAUGUUUGUAUUUUUUAUUUGUAAACUAAAUCACUAUCUUCACCACCAUUGCAAUAAAAUCAUUACAACAAUUAAUUUAAAAAGAUAAUAAUAAUUAAGUUUAAUACUUUCUAUAAAUUAAAAAAGUUAAUGUUAUUUAAAAUAAUUUUUAUUAUAAAUACAAAUUAAUAAAAUAAUUUAUAAAUUUAUAUAUGAAAUUAUUUAUAAAUAUUUUAAUUAUUAAUUACUUUAGAUUCUAAAUUAGUCUUGUGAUUAAUUUAAAAAUUAAAAUACUUAGUAACUAAAAUCUUGUUAAUUAAUAUUAGAUAACAAUUUAAAAAUUAUUUUAUAAAAUUUUAUUAAUGAUAUAAACUAUUUUAGAUACUAAUAAUUUUUUAAUUUUAAAAAAUAAUAUUUAAUUUAAUAAAUAAUAUUUAAUUAAGAAAUAUUAAUUAUUUUUUGUUUUUAAAAUGUAGUGAAAUUAGAUCUGUGUUUUUUCAUUAGAAGUCUAACUUUUUUAUAUGGUAAAAAACUAAUAAAUUCUAUCAUUAUUAAUGGUGAAAAAUCUAUUUUGUCGGAUAAUAAAAAUGAAGGGAUAUACUUUUUAAUAAAAAAAUAACGGAAACAAAUUAUUUAAAUCAAAACUCUAUUUUAUAUUUAUAAAACUAAUGUGAUCAUUAAAAAUUAAAAUGAAAUAGAAAACAGUUUUUUUAGUUUAACAUAGUAUGUCACAAAUUUAAUUUUAAUUUAAAUAUCAAUGGGAAUUAAUCAAAUUUAAGAUAUAAUAUUUGAAAUGUAUGAAAAAUAUAAUUAAAAAUUAAAUGAAAUACUCUAACUCACUUAAUCUGCCUACUUAAUCCAUUAAUAUUGUCAUACAUGUUCAAAUCAAUUUAUAGUUUUAUAAAUUUAGAAAAGAUAAAUUUAUAUACAUAAUACAAAAAAUAAGUAAUAGAAAAUUAUUAGAUAGAAAUCAAUUUUGGAGACUAAAAAUAAUUAUUUAUUAUAUUGACUAAAUUAUAUACUAUUUUAGAGAAAAAAAAUUAUUUGUUUCUAAAUUACUUUCUAUUAUUGAUAAAUAGUUUCUAAAUCGGUAUCAAAUUAGCUACCAAUAUUUUAACUACCACAAGUUUUAAUUACCAAUUAUUUAAAUUCUAAACUUUGUAGCAAAAAAAUUUGUGACUAAUUAGAUAUCAAUUUAAAAACUAUUUAUUAAUAAUAGAAACUAAUUUAGAAAUUAAUAACUUUUUAGUCUCUAAAAUAAUAUCUAAUUUAGACAAUAUAUCAAUUAAUUAUUUUUUAUCUAUAAAAUUAGUUUUUAUUUAAAAGAUUUACUAGUAGUGAUGGAAAUGAGUUGAAAAUUUUAAUAUGUGUAUAUAUAAUUUUAGGUGAUCUUUAACAAUUUAACUUGUGAAUCCAUUUAAAAAAAAAAAAAAACUUGUGAAUCCAUUUCUAAAAGUGAUGAGUUACAUUUUUCAUCCUAUAUUUACAUGCUGUUAACCUAAUCCUGCUUGACACGAAUUUAGAGCAUGUUAACUCUAAUCGAUUUUCUUUGUAUUUGAUAAUUUAUUUAUAUAUUUGACUAAAAUAUAUUCCAAUCAAAAUUUCGAGAAUGAAUAAAAAAUUAUUCUUUUAAUUAAUUUCUUAAUGUGAUUAUUUUAAAUUGAUUCCUUUAAAAUUUUUGAAAAAAAGCUAACAAUAUUAGGACUUAGUUGAAUGUAUUUUAUUUUUUAGACUAUUUUGUCAAACAAUUUUACACUACAUCUUUGAAAAGAAAAGAAAAAUUGCUUGACUAAAAAUAGACUUUUAUUUUUGUUCAACUAACUCGUACCACUACCCCACUUCAUAAAAUAAUUGCAUAUAAUUAUUUUAAAACCAUGUGAUUAUUUACCCAACUCAUCCCCAGACACGAAGAGAAAUAACCGGGAAAAAGUGUAAAAGGGAUUUAUUUGUGGUAACUGCCACUUUCAAAUGUUAUUAGAUUCUGAAAACGAUUUCAGAAAAUCAAAUAAAAUAAAUAAAUAAAAGCUAACACCACCAAAUGCAAUAAACCAAGAGAUUUUUUUUUUUAAGUAUUAUUAAUAUAGUCCCACAUCAAUUAAGAAUUGAAGUAAAAAACAAUUUAUAUAUACUUUUUACUCAUGUCAAAUACCUUUUAAAAACAUGAACAAAAUUUUCAUAGGUCUUAUUAGAAAAAAAAGAGACACACGUAUAUAUUUUGAAUGGUGUAAUGUUUGAUGUAUUAUAUAGGAAUAUUGAAGUAAUGGGCCCUGAAAUGAUAGCAAGUUUAGACAUAGAAUAGGGAGGCUAAAACUGGAGACAUAUAUAAUAUAAUGGCCUACAAAGUUAAGGUUGAUAGAGCACACCGACAUCACUCACCACGAACUUGUUACAAAUUUCGUAGGGAAGCAAAGUACCGAAUCAUUUGGAGGAAGAAGUUUGAGAAGAAAAGCAAUGAUUUAAUGGAACAGUGGAAUUGCAUACUUUUGGGUAUCACAAUGCCAAAAUAAACUGGUUUAAAUGGUUGUGCCCACUGUUCUGUACGAUAAAACACUAUCACACUGUUCCACUUCAAAUCAGAUACUAUCCCAUACAUGCUACAGAGCUACACUUAUAUUUCCUUCGUUACUUGGGAAUUUAAUUUACAGUCAACGGAGGAUGAUUUUGAGUUGAAGUUAUGAAGAGCAUGCAAAAAGGAAUAGUACUAUUCUGGACAACAAGUAGUAGGGGUGCUAAAAUAAUUUUUACACCAUUAACUUAAACCCAUUCCAAAGCAACGUCAGAGGUAAUGAUUCAUAGACCCAUUUCAUGAAUUGAGUUUGUUUUUAUCCACUAAUAUUGUUGAAUAGUAAGUAGGAGGUGAAGCUAAAUUUUGUUUGAAUUAUGUUUUUGGGCAGUUGAGAAUGAGCUUAAAUGGUUACUUUGCAUGCUUUUCCUAAAAUAAUUGCUUUGCUUUGGUUCCACUUUUUGCUUGCAGCUUUAAUUUCACCUAAAGAUGGAACUGUAAUAAAGCGUAAUCUUACGAAAUGACAUUCCCGCGUGCAAAUCAAAUAUAUAAGUGGGUCAUCUACACUUGCUUUAUGCACAGUUAACUUGAUUCCUAGAUUAAGACAUUCACUGUUUAUACUUAUAUCACAUUUCAUAACUCCCAUUCAAAAAGUAAACAACAUCAUUUACACAGCACUUCAUUCACUUAAACCAUAAAUUCUUUUAAGACAUUACUCACUAUCAACUUUCCUUUCAUGCUUUACAUCUGUUAUAAACUACAUGUUAGAAAUUUCAUGUUUCUCAUCUCUUAAUCUUUUAUAUAGAUUUUAUAGCAUCAUGAGUUCGAUAAUACAUAUAAUUAGGUCAUCUACCUAUAUUCAUAUCAGACAAUAAUGUAUUAGCACAAAUCAAAAGAUCUUGAGUAAAUGGUAAUAUCAAAACCCAAAACAAAAGAAAUAUGAUGAAUGUAUAUAUAUAACAGAGAAUACACUAAAGAAAAAACACAUCACUUACUAAUCGAGAUUGAGAGUCCAUUCACUCUUAACAACACUAAAUAUUUUAGGUUUGAGAUCGCCGAUACUCUUAUCUGAAACAGUUUUAUUUAUAAUUUUUAAAUAGCCUUCGAGAAGUAUGAUUUAACUUAAUUAUUGACUUUAACGAAGGUGUCUCCAUUGUGGUGAAUCCUAUACACUUUUCUUCUUUCAUUUCUGCCUUUAGUAUGAUAAGAAAAUGAGUUUGGGGUUGAAUUAAAAAUGGAAGAAAGCAUGGAUUACGGGCCUGUGAAUUAAUCUAAGGCCAUAGUAGAUUGUGGUCCACCUGAGGUAUAGGCCAGGACCCAAUUUCUUGAGAUAAUAAAUUUGUAUUAAGCUUGAAAGACACAUCACCACCAAGCCCUAAACACCGGCCUAUAGAUACAUGUGUUUUUUCCACUGAGAGAGAGAAGCACUUCAAUUUUCAAACACCACCAACAUUUAUUUAGGUAAGAAAAUUGAUUAGAGGAUUAAACCGGGCGUGUAGGAGGGGAAACAAAGGAAAAAGAAACAAGUAAUGAUUAGUGAGUGCCCCACUAGGGAAAUUUUGAAGGAUUCACUCUUAAUUAAACGUCUUUUUCACAUUGAGAACUAAUUAUAUUUAUACAUAGUUGUAGAAAAUUAAGAAAAAUAUUGUUUUACUUUCAACUUUGCCUCUCUGUUCUCCAUUAUUUACAUGUGAGAAGAAGAUAGCUGUAUACCAUUGGAAUUUGGACGAGGAAAGACUUGAAUGAAUGUAUAAAUUCUUGUACUAAUUGGAAUCGAACAAAUUAUGGUUAGUAUUUGAUGAGUCAUGUUAAUUGAUUUUAGUAAUCGAUCGACUGAAUGAAUCUUCAUUCAAAGUAGUUACGAUAAACAGUUUAAGACAGUUGUAAGAAUUUUUUAAGAAUUUAGAAUACAUUCUACCAAAUUCAGAUAACACUCCUGUAAAUCAAGAACUUUUCUAAAAAAUGAGCUAAUGCUAAAAUAUGAUAAAUUUGACUCAUUACAACAAACUACAAAUGUGUAAGGUACGAUUUUAAUACCUUCUUAAUUUAUAUUUCGUAUACUAAGUACUUACUUGAUUGUUUGAAUAUUUUUUUCAGAUCAAUAUACAAGACUUAGAAUAAAAAAUAAGAAAACAACCUAACAACCAACUCGUUAACAAUUCAACAACCAAUUUCAGAUAUUAUUUAAAUUUAUUUUAUCUAUACAAUUCUUAAUAGCUAUAUCUAACUUUUUUUUUUUUUUGGAUCUCUUGACCUUGAUCAACAAGUUUUACAACCUUUGGAAUCAUCGAGACCUAGAUUGAAAACAAAAACAAUGAAUAGGACGAUGAAGAUUAUGUCAUCUCCUUCGAAAUACCAAAAACAUUUUCUGAGACUAUAGCGUUCGAGUGAGUGUAGUUUAUUUGGAAUAAUUUUUCUUAAAAUUGGGUUAGACAAGUCAAUUUGAAAUUGAACUAUAACUUUUCUAGCUCAAUUUAUCCCUUACCAGAUUAAGGGUCAAAAAAACCCUGCAUAUGGAUCAAUAAUAUUUUUACAGCCUACACAGAAUGGAUCCAUCAUUUCUUACACUAUAAAAAAUAAAUAUUAUUAAUAUAAAUUACCUUUUAUAUGAUAAGAUAAUAAAAUAAUUUCACUUAAUUAAGUUUUAAGUUAUUAUAAAUUUAGACAUCUUUAAUUAAUUUUUAAUUACAAAUUUUCGUUCUAUUGAAUAUUAAAAGUAUUUUUUUGUUUUUAUUUAAAUAUUUUUUCAUUUAAUUAUGUUGCCAACUAGAUAAUAUAACGGUUACUUCCGUCUUCUCGUUUCUAAAAAUAAAUAAGUGAUUGCGUGACGACAAAAAUUAAGAAAUAAGAUACUUAGACAAAAAAUGAAAAAAAUAUUUUAAACACUUAAUUAAUAUAUAUAUAUAUAUAUUAAAUUAAAAUACUUAAAUUUAUAAGAUACUGAAAAUUUAAUUAAAUAUAUAUUUUUAAUGUUGUGCAGAGGUGUCUAUUCUUUUAUUUUUUUUUCAAUAAUAAUAUAAAUAAUCGCCAAAAUAUUUAUCAGACAUUAAAUAAUGAUUAAUGUAUUAAUGGUGGUACUUGUAUAUAGUAAAAGAUCUAUUUUAUUAGUGAGAACUUAAAUCAUCUUUAAAAUUAUUUUUUCAAUUCUGCUUUAAUCUUUCAAUAACUUUUACCUAUUAUCGCUAAAAAAAUUUAAAAAAUGAAAAGAUUUAACAAAAGAUUAAAUAUUAUCUUAUGAAAUAAAUUUUAUAAAAUUUAGUUAAAUUUAAUUUUUUUAAUAUGAUAUAAAGUUAUUAUAUAGUAGUGUUUGCUGGAAGUUGAAACUUGUGUCAUCCAUUACUAAAUUCUCCUAAUUUAAUGUGAGAUGUCCAAUACUAAAUGUAAAAGUGUAUUGAUCUAUUAUAUUUAUUUUAUAGAAUAACUCCAAUAAAUUGAUUGAACCUCAAAAUAUUAUGUACAACUAUUUAUUUAUUUCUCAUAAUAUUUAAUAUUAAUGAAUAACUCAAUACCCAUUGUGACACCAUCCUAUGAAUCGUGUGAAUGAAACCCAGCAGAGUUUCAAGAUUAUUGCCAUCUGCAACAAAGAAGAAACAAAUCAAAUCUCAAAAUUCAAUGAAAUUGUACGCUUAACCAAUACUAAUUAAAUGGUAACAAUGAACAAAAUUACUAAUUAAAGUAUGAGAUACCACUAAUCAAGUUUUGAAUUCGUAUGAACUUCACGGUGGUAAAUCACUACAUGAUCCUGAAAUGCUUCCAACAAUGAAACUUUGAUGAAGAUCGAGUGAUGAUUUAUUUAUAUGAGAUUUUCUAAAUCUCAAAUAAGAGUUUAAAGAGAUAUGAGAGGGAUUAAAUGAGUACAAAUGUAUUGAGUUGAAUUGAGUAAUUUCUGAAAUUAUAUUUAUAAGUUUUUGGUGUUGUUAAAAUAUAAAAUAUUUAAUUAAUUUAUAUAUGUUGUCGAAUAUCAAGUCAAUUUCAACAUAGAAGUUAGUUUUUAAAGGUGUCCUAUUUAUUCAGACAUGGAGGUACUUAAUGUCUAUUAUUGCAAGUGAAUAUUAUAUUCUUAGUAUUUUUUUAUACUGGAUAUCUCUAAUAUGGAUAUUAUAUUCUUAUUAUUUUUUAAUUUUGGAUAGUACACAUAUUUUACUUUAAUAAAAAAUAUCAUAACAUCUAAGUUAAAAUAACUCCACAAAAUUUAACAAAAUCAUAUAUCGAUAAAUGAAAAAAUGUAUAAAAAAAAUAAAAAAAUAUGAGAGAAACCAAACUCAUAUAAAAGAAACAAACAAUAAUCCAAAAUAAAAGACUAUACAAAUUUAAAGUCUAAGCUCGUGUUUGGAUUGGGGGGUGGCACUGUAGUCACAGACGAAAGUGGGGUGUCACCCCGUUUGGAUCUGUUGAUGGUGGAGGGUGUGGGUGAGGGUGAGGGGAAAGUUGGGCCGAAUGAGAGAGCAUUCAGAAGUGAAGAGAAAGGAGAGGGAGAGGGAGUGAGUGUCAAGUAGGAUGAGUGCAAUGUCAUUUGUGCCUUCACUAGAUUUUUUGACGUAUUUGGACAUUGGACAUGAAGCAUGCAUGCGCAUAACACUGUGAAGAGAAGCUUUUCAGCAAGCACAGGAGAUUCCUGACCAUUGUUCAGGAUUCUCUUUGACCAACUUCAAAGCUCAAUGAAUGCAUAGCCAAGUUGGUGAGAGAGUGGAUGAGCGUAAUAAAGAGGUGCAGCAGUAUAUAUGUGGUUCCCAACCUCACAAACCUCACACAGUUGAGGCAAUUCAGUUCUUCACAAAGCACAUACCUAGAGAGCUUGGAGAUGGUCAUGAGUAAGCAUAGUGAUAGGAGAUUGCACUUGGUUCUUUGUUUGUGACCUCAGGUGAGCUGUGUGUGAGUUUAUUUUCAUUAUUAACUGAUUAUCACUGAAAAUGAACGUAUGCCAUAAUCGAUUAUGUGAAAAAAAAAGAGUUGAUAAUUGAUGAAUAUAUAUUUAUUCACACACAAUAGCCUUAAUCAUAGAUUAUUGGACUAUAAUAAUAAAUAAAUUCAUUGUUUUAAUUAAUAUUCAUAUAAUUGGUAAUUAAUAUUAUCUUUGGUAAUUUUGUGUUUUUAGGGUAAAUUAUCUGAAGCAUCUACCUUUGUGAAUGAGCCAAACAUGCAAAAGUCCAAGUUGCUUAUUUGAAUAAAAACAAAAAAACAAAUUCUGAGGAGAAGAAAGAGAAAAUAAAAGCUACAAGAUUCCAGAAACAGAAUUGGAAGCAAAUCUUCUGUAAAAUAAAAAGAAUUAUGGAAAGUGGAAACUGUUUAGAAAAUCUUAAGUGCAAUAUUUUCCCAAGAUCCUUGGAGCAGAAAAGUCUAUAAAAGGACACAAGCAUGAAGGAGAAAGGGAGAGAGCUUCAUAGGGUUUUCUUAGUUUCUUUUCUUCUUUGUAAUUCUUUUGUUUUGCCUCCGCAUGGAAGGUUAAACCUUUUUGGUUGAUUCUUUUGUAAUUCCCCAUUAAGUUCUGAGGUUUUUAUUCAAUAAAAGUUUCAUUUUUCAAUUUUUUAUAACAAUUGUUUUUAUUGUCUAAUCUUCUGGAAAACUAGUUUUUGUGAGAGGUUGUACUUGAACGCAUGAUUGAGAGUCUUCCUUAUCUUAAACUUUGGUUUCUUAGUUAGUUCUCAUUGUUCUAAUUAAUUUCUUGGCGCAUGAUUCAAGAGAGAGGAUAUAAGCAUUCCUAUGGAGUAUACGCAUGGAACAAAAUGUCUAUUGAUUAAACCAGUAGACGCAUGCUUUACUGGUGAGUUUCAGUUGAAUCAGAUCGGCGCAUGUUCAAUCUGGUUUAGCUCUGUUGGAGGAUUGAAAAAAUAUUAAUCUUUAGAGAACCUGUGAAGAAUUCAAUGGUGGAAGAACUUGGGAUCAACCACUUUUUUAUUUUCUAUUUCAAUCUUUUUUAUAUUUUUCUUGUAGAUAGAUUUUGAAUUCGGUUAACUGAAUCACUAUUGGAUUCGUUGGGAGACAACUUAGGGUCAUCUCUCUGGUGUUAGACAACUCUACGCUAGAUUCAUAUUAAUUUGACAGCAAAACGACAACUAUAAAUAAUCGAGCAUAAACAUUUGGAUAAUCGAUUAUGAUUUUAAUUUCCCAGAUUUUUUAUUUUCUGUUUUUUGAAGUAAUUUUUGCAUGAUUUUUUUGGAUUGUGUUUUUUUUUUAAAUUGUGUUUGGAUGUUUAGUUUUAUUUUGAAUUUAAUUUGUUUAAAUUAUUUUAAAGUACUUGUUAAUUAGUUUUUGUUAAUUAGUUUUUAAUUUUAGAUGUGAAUGUUUAGGAAAAUUGAUUAUCUAAGAUUUAUAUUGUUAAUGUAAAAAUUUCAUGAAAUUUAAAUAUAGAAUUUUUGUAACAUGAAUUGAAUUGAAUUUAUAGAUUGAAAUUAGAGAUCUAAAUCUGUUAUUUUAAAAUAUUGUUAUUAAAAAAAUUAUAAAAAUUGUUACAGUAAUUUAAAACAGAAAAAUCAAAUAUACAGAAGAUUUUUUUAACAUUGUUAAAUAAAUUUAUGAAUGUAUACAUAGUAAUUUUUUUUUUAACUUUGAAGCUGUUAAUAAAAUAAUUUUUUUGAUUUAAACUUACAGAAUAGACUAUUUUUUAGAAAUUAUUAUUUUUACAGAAUGUAAAUAUAAUUUUUAAAACAAAUAUUGUAUUAAUUAAAAAAACAGAAAAAGAUUACAUAAUAAAUUAGAAUUUUUAAUAAUAUGUGUACAUAGUUACUAUUUUUUGAACAUUUAAUUCUUUAUAAAAAAAUAUAUUUAUUUAUUUGAAAUGAUUAUUUUUACUUAAUGGAAAUAAAAAUUUUGAAUGCUAUAUUUUAUAAUUUUGGACAUUUUACAUACACAUAUCAUAAAAUACAUAUAAUUUAUUUGUCAUAGUUUACAUAAAUUGUUAAUGUUAUUAUAAAAAAAUUAAAAUAAAUAUUGUAGUAAUUAAAAAGAACAGAAAAAGAUUACAUAAUAAAUUCAAUUUUUUAAUAAUAUAUGCAGAUAUUUAAUAUUUUUUAACAUUUAAUACUUUAUAAAAAAACAUUUAUUUAUUUGAAAUUAUUAUUUUUACAGAAUGUAAAUAUAAAUUUUUAAUGUUAUUUUUUAAAACAAAUAUUGUAUUAAUUAAAAAACAGAAAAAGAUUACAUAAUAAAUUAGAAUUUUUAAUAAUAUGUGUACAUAGUUAUUAUUUUUUGAACAUUUAAUUCUUUAUAAAGAAAUAUAUUUAUUUAUUUGAAAUGAUUAUUUUUACAUAAUGUAAAUAGAAAUUUUGAAUGCUAUAUUUUAUAUUUUUUUUGAUAUUUUACAUACAUUGUCAUAGUUUACAUAAAUGGUUAAUGUUAUUAUGAAAAAAUUAAAACAAAUAUUGUAGUAAUUAAAAAGAACAGAAAAAGAUUACAGAUUUUUUAAUAAAUUCGAUUUUUUAAUAAUAUGCGUAGAUAGUUAAUAUUUUUUUAACAUUUAAUGCUUCAUAAAAAAACAUUUAUUUUAUAAUUCAUUUUAAUUUUAUAUUAAUUUUUAAGUUAUAAUUGAAACUUACAAUUAUUUUAAUUAUCAAAAUUAUGUACAAAAUUAAUAAUUUUUUUUAUACAUAUGGAUAAAAGUAUACUUUAUUAUAUAUAACAUAAAGUAAUUGAAAUUAAAUAAUAUAAUAUUAAUUAUUUUAAUUAAUUUAAAUAUUCUUUAAACUAAUUAAUAUUUCAUUUUUCCCAUUUAUAUAUAUAGAAGAAUAAAUUUAUAAUCUUACCAUUUACACUAUUCAAAAUAUAUUAAAAUACUUUCACAACUAUCACAUCAUUCACACUUUUCAAUAAACUUUCUUUACACAUCCACUCUAACAUCCCUCAAUCCAAACAUCCUCAACUUUCAACUUUCUCCACACUUUUUUCAUAUUUUCACUCCCACACCCUCAACUUUCCACUCACGAGUUGAUAAGUGUUACAACAAAAUAUAAACUAAUGUAAAACACUAAACCAAAUAAAUAUAUUUUCAAUCCUAAUAUUCACAAUGUUAUGACCUUCACUUUUAUAUAUAUAUAUACUACAAGAAAAUCAUCAAAUAGAAACUAAUUUUUAGAGAUCAAAAUAAUUAGUUGAAAUAGUAACUAAAUUGGAGACCAUUUUAAAAACUAAAAAAAAUUGAUUUCUAAAUUAGUAACUAAUUAUUUUUUGUCUCUAAAAUUGGUUUUUAUUUCAUAAUUUUUUUAUAGUAAUAUAUAUAUAUAUAUAUAUAUAUAUAUAUAUAAUCACAAAUUUAUUUGAGUCAUCUAUCUUAAAGAACUUAAUAAAAAGUUUGAGGACUCAAAAAAUUUAACAAAUAAAAAGUAGAAUCACACUUCUACCCAAUACAAGAAAAUUAUUAAUUAAAAACUAGUUUAAGAUAAAAAAAUAAUUAGUGAUUAUAUUACUAAAAUAAAUAUUAUUUUAUAGACUAAAAAAUUAUUGAUAUCUAAAGUAGUUUUUAUUAUUAUAAAAAAUUAUAAAUUAAUUUUUAAAUUGGUAUCUAAUUAUUUAAUUAAUUUAAUUAGCUAACAUUUUUAGAACCUAAAAUAGUUGAUAACUAAUUAGAUACCAAUUUUAGAAUUUAAAGUAAUUGAUAGCUAAUUAGAUACUAAUUUAAAAUCUAGUUUAUAAAUUUUUAUUAAUAAUAAAAACUACUUUAAAUAUUAAUAAUAUUUUAAUCUAUAAAAUAAUAUUUAAUUUAAUCAAUAUAUAAUUAAUUAUUUUUAAUUAUAAAAUUAUUUUAUUUAAUAAUUAUACUGUAUUGACCAUAUACAUGUAAAUCUAAAGUGAAUAAAUAGAAUAGUAACUACAAACUCUGCAUAUGAAGAUUUAUUAAUAUUAAAAUAAAAAGUGGAACUUUUAAUAUAUUCUUCAUUGUUUCCUCUAAAAGUCACUAUAAUAUAAUCAAGACAAUCUCUAACAUUACCAUCACUAUUGACAAAUAAAUUAACUUAUUAGUAAUUAGUUCGUCAAUUUAAUAACUAUAUAUAGAAGAGAGAAAAGUAAAAUUUCAUUUAAGAGUGGAGUUGAUUGUAGAAAUUAAAUUACGUAUAAAGUUAAGGGAGGGAUAUCUAUUAUUUUUUAAUAUGAAUUGUAAUUUUAACUUGAGAUCUUCCUGUCUAGUUAAGUAAUUAAUAAGUAGAAAGCUUUAUUAAAAAAUAUAUUGAAGUUGUAUUAGAAAUUUUAGAAAAGUGGAUCCAAGUAAAUAACUUUCACUUUUAAAUUUUUUUACUAGGUAUUUUUCUGUAAUUUAUAUAUUUAAUCUCUUGCAAACGUAACAACUAUGAUUGAAUUGAAGUUUGAAAAACAUUUUUCUGAAUUUUAUGAUUAUAUGGUAAUGUCACAUUCGAGGAUUACAUAAAAUAACGUAACGUGCAACAUGAAACACGAUUGUUCUAACACAACUUUCAUCCAUUCAAUUUAUUUCUUAUAUAAAUAAUUUUAAAAUUAAAAUUAAUAAAAUUUCAUGGUUACCUAACAUUUGUCUAGUUUGUCUGAAAAAAAAUGUCCAACAAUAAAUUAAACUGGGCAAAAUAUAAUCUGUCCAUUGAAAUUCUUAAAAUAUUAAAUACAGAUUUUUGUAUUAUUUUGUCACUCUAAACUUUUGAACUUUAAAGAUAUAUAUUUUAGGUGUUUCAAAAAUUUAUACAUAUUGAUCUUUAAUGGUAAUAACACUAGAUGGAAAAAAAUUGUACAGAUGAUGGUCUUAAUAGUGUUGAUUAUUAUAUUUAAUAAAAAAAGUGUGAUAAAGUUGUCAUGUAUAUAAGUUUAUUUUUGUCGUUAGUACUAAUGAAAUCUAAAAGGUAUGUUUAAAUUUCAAAGGAAUCAAAAUAAUAUAAUUUUUUAUAAAAGUAUUUAGUGUAAUUAAAUUUUAAUAUCUCGAUUAGAGAUUAAGAUAUUUCAUUUUAUAGUAUAUAAGCGGGUGUAACUUCAUAAGCUGAUUUGGUUUAAACUUAAAGUUCACUUUUUAAUAUGAUAUAAGAUCCAUUUAAAGUCGAACUUAACUAGAGAUUUUGUUAGUCUUACCAAACCAUCUACUAUCGGAUCGUUAUUGGAUCAUAUAUAAAUAUAUAGUCUCAUACACAAACAGUCACUCUCCGCGUGAGAAAAUGUGUUAGAAAAUUCACAUAGAUUAAGUGCAAACAUUACCUUAUAAGUCGAUUUAAGUGCAAAAAUUACCUUGUAAGUCGAUUUUAUGAGUUAGAUUUGAAAUUAUUUUUCAAUAUUCAUAUAAAUUAUUUUUUUAAGAAUUAAUAUUAAACAAGCAGUAAAAAAAUAAUUAUUAUAAAAAUAUUAAAAAUAACCAUUUAUCUAAAAAUAUAUAAACUAAAAACACUCUUUUCGCAAGAAUAAAUAUGACAGACAAUGCCAUUAUUAGAAUUUAGAACACACAUGAAGGGGUUGGAGAAUAAUUUAUUAACGUCUGGAGCAGCAGCACCUAGAAGCAUUAAAUAUUCAUAAUUAUUUGUAGUAACAACUAUUUUUAAUUUUAUUGUUCUUUGAUUAUUAUUCCACUACAACAGAAUUGAUAACCGAUAACAGUUUUAAAACUUACUUAGCAACUGUUAAAACUAUGGUCAUAAAACUACAUAGUGAAUUUGUAGGCUAUGAUGAGUUUAUAUGUCUAUUUGUUGGUUGCGGCUCAACCCAACAUGUAAAUUCGUUUUUGAGCUAAACUCGAUUUGGUGAACUUGAUAUUAAGCACGUAAAAUAAAAUAAAAUAAAAAGCACCAUACUAUUAAAAUCACAAAUGAUAAUAGAAUGUUAAAAAAAAAUGUUAACUCUUAGUAAUUAACAAAUAGGUUGAGAAUCAUGUUGCCCCAACAGGAAGAAAAUGUUCUGUAGGAAGUGUAAGAGAAAAAAAAAAAUAAUGUAACAUGAAUACUUUUUUUGUGUUGUUAAAUUUAAAUGAAAAUCACAGGAACUUAUAUGUAAUCGAGAACUAUGUUUAAUCAAUUAUCUUUUUUAAACCUAUUAUUUGAUUACUUAUUUUUAAAAUUUAUCUCAAUUUAUUACAAGAAAAAUAUUAUAAUAAGUUAUUUAUAAAUAUUUUCAUCCAUAUAAUUUUGCACUUUAUAUGCAUAUAAAUGAUUUCAAGUUAACUAUUAAUAAUAAAUUAGUUGUAUUAUAAAUAAAAAACAUUAUAGUAUAUUUAUUUUCAAUUUAAUUUUUAUAAAUAAUUUAAUUCUUAUGUUUUUAAAAUAAAAUAGCUUUUUUUUUCAAAAAAAAAGGUUCUUAUACUGAUAAUCAUUUAAAUUAAAAUCUGUUUCUUGUUUGAUUCUUUUGAAAAUAUCAGUCAUGCCAAUGUGAUAAUAUCCAAAUUUUAUAUAAUUUUUCAGUUAUAUGUUUUUUUCUAGUUAUAAUUGUUUUGUAAGUUUUUUUUAUUUAUUUCAGAAACUAAUAAAAUUUAUUUUAAAUAAUAAAGAUUCUCACAUGAUAAAUAAAAACUUCAAAUAAAAUCUAAGGUCAUUGUUUAACAAAAUUUACAACCAGAGCAAAUCACAUUUCUUAUAUAAGGAAUGAAGUUAGUGUAAACAUUUCCAAAAAUGCUUAUGACCAGUUAAACAAAUUUUAAUUAUUUUUAAGAAAAUGAUUCCGAUAUUCAUGUUUUCCAAGAGUCUACAUAUGAGGUAGUGACAGAAUUGUCAUUCUACUACAUAUAAGCUCAUAAUGGACCUACUCUUUACAAAGCAGAAUUGAACAACUGCACAACAAAAAUAAAUCUUUUCCACUGCAUAGCAACUGCAAAACAUAUCAAUUGCAGAAUAAAUCAUAAUCAACUGCAUAACAAAAUAAAUCUUUCCAUAAUAUUGAAAUUUACUGUAUUUUUCACCUACUACUUCAAAUCUAAAAUCAUCAUCUACUGAAAUAUUUCAAAACAAGCUCCUGGAUUGUAAAACAACACCCACUAGUAAUCCACUGCCAAGAGUAGAGCUUAAAAUAUUUCAACCAUUUUCCACUUCCCUCCGAAUGUUGAAAACAUUUGAGAAUUUUGGGCCAACCCUAUUGACCACCAAACAAUAGAAAACUAUAUAACAUGCCACCUGAUUCUAUUAUCUGAAUCACAAUUAAGAAAUCCCAAACUUCUAUUGCUCCAUCAACUCAAGCACUAAACUCACCUGGAGAAGAAUUCACAUUCAAAAUACAAGUGAACUAGAGUUUUGACUUCCUUAUAAGGUACCUCUAGACAUGACUUCAAUGGUUGGAGUAAUACCUCUAUAUGCUUGUUCUUAAGGGAGAAAUCAAUCUUGAGCUAGCUUCCAAAUACAAGAUUGAACCUUGAGUAAGUGUCAUAGAACCUUAUCCAGCCUAAAUUUCGAUAAUAGAACCUUAUAUGCGAUUUAACCAAGUAAGUGUGUCUAUGUAAUAAAUAAAUCAUUUUCAUGAAAGUUGAAACUUUAUAAAAUGAACUCAAAUUUAAACCAUUCAUUGACGCUGGCUUCAUAUAUUGGAGCUUAUUGCGGAAAAUCCUUAUUACUAUAUGACUUUAGAGGAGUUUUACAGUGUAAUUACAAGAUAGAAUACUGACAUAAAGUCUCCAUAAGAUUCAAGUUUUGAUAUGACCAUCCUAAAUCAUCCUCUGAAUGUUGUCAGUAAAAUUAACCAUAGUUUCAAGACUGUUAUCAUCUGCAACAAUGAAGCACCAAAUUAAAAUCACAGAUUUUCAGAGUUGAGACACAUUAUAUGCACAAAACUAAUAUUCAAAUGCGUCCUGGCACCAGUCAUAGUUAGUUACAAUGAAAGAUCUACAAUUUAAAGUAGGAGACACCACUAACCAAGUUUGGGGACUGUAUGCCCUCUGGGGUGAUGAAUCACAACAGGAUUCUGGAAUGCUCCCAACAAAGCAACGCUCUCUUCCUUCAUGAAAUCUUUCUCCCCUUCACCACAUAAUAAGAAUAGAAGAUACAAUACAACUUUCAAAGUUAAAUGUAAAGGAAAAUUUGCUUAAGCAGAAUCACAUAUGAGGGACUUGAAAUUACCAAUAAUGUGAAGAGAUAAGCAAUCAAUUGGUUUUGAAAAUGCAUUAGAAGCCAAUUUAGGCAUUCCAAACUUGUUUCCACCAAACUUGGCACCAGAUAUCACAAUCAAAAACUUGAUCUUGUCUACCUUCCCAAGUGCUACACCCUAUAAAAGUCAUCAUUCCCUUUAGUGAAAUCAAAUGCAGUUUUAACUAAUUUAGCCUACUUAGAGCAUCUCUAAUGCCGCUGUUUACAAAAGUUGCUUAAAAUGAAUAGCAUUGCUCAACAAAAAUUGACAUAUAAGAAACAUAAACUAUUUUUAUUUUAAAAAAAUGUACAUUUUCAAGUUAACAAUCAUCGUCAAGACAAAGAAACAAAGCUAUACACCCAUUUAAAAACUUUAGCAUUAGAGUUAAAACUCAAGUAUUCAUUCUUUGACAAUUUAAGAAAUAAAACCGUAUAAGCAAACCAUGCUUCAUGCUUCGUAGAUACUCAUUGAAAACUCAAAUAUUCAUUCAUUCUUUCACCAAAAGGGCAUCAUCAAGGAAGGAAAGAUGAACUUAAUAUAUAAAAGAGAAAGUGUAAACAGUAAUAAGAUGAGUUUCUUGUUCAGUACCUGCGCUUGCAUUCCUGGCAAUGCAGCCGCUAAAAUUGCUCCCUGAGAGACAACAUUCCUUAUGUGUCAAAAUUGUAUAAACAAAAGAUUACAAAAAGUUCACAAAUAACAUUGUAGCAGCAAAGUCCGCACCUGAGAGAAACCCAAUACACCAUCGAAAGGACCAUUUUUGAGCAUGUAAUCUUCUAUGUAUGCUAAACAGGCUUCGAAGUUUCUAUACUCAGAGAAGUCCUGUACAUGAAAAGAUAAACGUUAGCAGCAUACUAGGAUAAUGUCGGUGGUGGGGAUUACUAAGAUGGACAGUCUUGUCUCUACAACAACCUCAUUGGCUUGGAACCAUUCAUAGUAAGGAGGAUCGAAAAUGCCUUCAACGUCAGAUCUUCCCUGCGCGGGAAAUUGGCCAUCGAGGAACACGAGGUCCAAUUUUUGUAUCACUGGUUCUGGCCAUCUUAAGACUAGCUGCUUGAGGAUUUCGCCACUGGUUCUGAAUCCGUGGAGACACAGGAUUCUGGGUUUUCUCUGGGUUUGGUCUUCUUCCAUAAUGCUCAAACUUUGACAGCAGAUUAUUGCUCAGGGUGCUUUCAUGAAAUCAAAAUGAAAAUUAGUACCAAUUUCUUUAGAUUUGGGCAAAAUGUAAGGGCCGGCGCCGCCGAACCCAUCAUUUAAUAAAAUUGUAAAACAUUGUAAUUUUUAGAUUUCAUCUUAUAAAAUCAACUCAAUCUAAAUAAAUAAAUAUAUUUCAAAUUUAAAUUAUAUUAUUAUAAUUAAUUUUAAUUUGAAAUAUAAUAAUUUAAUAUAGAAAUUAUAAUGCAUAUAUAUGUUUAAAUAAAAUAACAUUAUUUUUAUAUUUUAAAUAAUUAUUAUUAUUUUAUAAAAAGAUUAUGUAUAAGGCUAUUUAUAGGCCGAACCUGUUUAAAUAUAUUACAAAAAUAAUUCAGUUUAAUUUAUAUUAUAAUUUUUUGUAAUUGAACCGUUUGAUUAUGUAGUUUUUUCAUGUGUUAGCUACAAGACACUAGUCUAUUUCAGCACAAAUAAAAAUAAUUUAUAUAUCACUCAAAGGAUAGUUCUCGUAAUUUAUUCUCAUGAAAGGUGUUUCCGUCUGUUGACUCGAACAAUAGUCUUUGUCCCUCCUAACUCCGUCUGAGAAUUGAACUUUCUUGAUCGAAGAAUCUCUCACCUGCAAAGACAAAGGGCGUCUUGACGGUCGUUUGCACUCCAACGCUCAAGUCAGUAUAAGGGCAAAGAAAGACCAAGUGUAUAAAGUAGUUUCAGUCUUAGAAAUUGUGUACCUUGCUAGGAUUCUUAGCACCCUUUAUAUAGGUUGAAACUAGGGUUUACCUUCGCUCAUUUACCCAUAUCUAGGGUUCCUUCGAGAAUGUCCCUACGCCGCUAUUACAUAAUCUUAGCGUAAUCUGAUACAUUGAACUUCCCUUAACUGGAGUGCAACGACUAACAGAAUGGUCAUCUGGGUACCAACUUGUGCACCUAAUCUCUGGGGCCAUCUAUUACGCGGGUGUCUUAAGUAUUCACGUGUCAUGCAUGCAGCUCCCUUCGGAAACCCUAACCCUAAUGGGCCUUAGCGCCUCCAAGGACUGUUUACUCGUGUCGCGCCUGAAUGCACUAUACACACCACCUGCAUGGAUCCCUCGUGACUUAGGUUUUCCUUAUAUCUGUCGUUUUAACUGAUAACUUAGUAUAAUUCUAGGGUCCACCUUACGUGGUCAUAUAUAACUGUUCUGACCGUCAACAUCCGAUCUCUUCCUAUUCUGGCAAGGUCUGAUAUCGAUCUCCAACUUCGAGGUCUAUGGUACUAGUGUCCGAACGCUGACCCACACCCUGAUAUGCGUAUCUGGGACCCACCUUGUGUGGCCCAUCUUUGCUAUCAGGCACCGAUGCGCGACGUCUGAGAUCAGUCUCUGAAGUCGAUGACCGAUGACUGGUCGAUACAAAAAGAAAAAUAAAUUAUUAACAUGUAGCAUGAUUAAUCCGGUUAUAAAAAAAAAUCCCAUAAAUUGUUACAUGCUAAUAUUUUUUUUAAAAAUUAUGAAAUUGUCAUGAAUGUUAUAUCCUCAUUUAUUUUUUAAAAAAAAUUCCUUACAUAGAAGUAGGCCAUUCAAUUCUAUAUAUAUAUUUGAAAUUUGUAGUAUAUGUUGGUUAUUAAUUCAGAUUUUAUUAUUAUUAAUUCUGAUUUUAUUACCCUUAAACUAUUUUACCGUUAUAUUGCAUUAAUGGUCAGUUUACAGGCCUGUUAGUAUUCUUAUUUUAUAGCUUCCAGUAAUUGUAAUUUUAUUAUAUAUAUAUAUAUAUAUAUAUAUAUAUUAUAUAUAGUNNNNNNNNNNNNNNNNNNNNNNNNNNNNNNNNNNNNNNNNNNNNNNNNNNNNNNNNNNNNNNNNNNNNNNNNNNNNNNNNNNNNNNNNNNNNNNNNNNNNUUACGUUCAAUAGUUGCUACAACCUUUUGCCUUCUCUUAUUUCCUUCAAUUAAUUCCUACAACUGGUAUCAGAGUCAGUCUGUUAUCAUAAACUCUACCCAAUUAUCAGUCCCUAUCCUUGAUGGAAAAAAUUACAAUCGGUGGUGUGUGCAGAUGAAAGUUUUGUUUGAUUAUCAUGAGUUAUGGGAUGUCGUUGAGAGUGGAGUGUUUGCAUUAGCUGCUAAUGCAACUGAGGCACAACGAGUAGCGCAUCGUGAUCAGAAGAAGAAGAAGGACAAUAAGACUUUGUAUCUCAUCCAUCAAGGGAUGAAUGACGAGACGUUUGAGCAGAUAGAAUGAGCAACAACUGCCAAUGAGGCUUGGACAAUUUUGUCAACCAAUUAUAAAGGUGAUGAUAAGAUCAAAAGGCUGCGUCUUCAAACCCUAAGACGCCAAUAUGAAUUGUUGCAGAUGGAAAUCACAGAGACUAUUUAUGUCUAUAUAAAUAAAGUUCUUGCCUUCACAAAUCAGAUGAAGACCAAUGGUGAAACACAUUCGGAGCAGGCAAAGGUGGAAAAGAUUUUGAGAUCUUUAACUCCCAGAUUUGAACAUGUUGUUGCCGCAAUUGAAGAGGCCAAUGACAUUUCAAAAAUGACAGUAAGGUUAUUGUUUGGUUCUCUACGAGCGCAUGAGCAGCGGAUGAAUGACAAUAAGAUUGAAAAACCAAUUGAACAGGCUUUAGAAGCACAAGCCUCAAUUGGUAGCUCCUAUAAUAAACAUGGUAGCUAUUUCAGCAAAGGUCGUGGUGGCUAGAAUCAUGGAGGCGCUUGGCGCGGGGAACGUGGUCGCGGAGGACGAGGAGACAUUUAUAAUAAAUCAAAUGUUGAGUGUUAUAAUUUCCAUAAACGUGACCAUUAUGCAAAUGAGUGCAGAUCAAAAGGUGAUAAUCAUGCUUCCAAUUGUGCUCAAGAAGAUAGUAAUCACGAACAAGAUGAAGAGGACCAUGAAGUAUUAAUGACAACCACAUCAAAUGAAACUCCAAACAACCAGACUUGGUAUUUGGAUACAGGUUGCACGAAUCAUAUGUGUGGUCAGAAGGAGCUGUUUGCAGAUUUGAAUGACUCAUUUCGCACAAAAGUGAAAUUCGGUGAUGGCAAGUUCAUUCCAGUGAUUGGAAAAGGGCAAAUUCUUAUUACAUUGAAGAAUGGUGAUCACAGGUACAACUAUGAUGUUUUCUAUGUACCUGACAUGAAAAGUAAUCUAUUGAGUGUGGGACAACUGGCCGAAAAGGGUUACGUGAUGCACAUAGUUGAAAAUAAAUCUCAAUUUUUUAUAAAAAAAAGGUAAUUUGAUUCUUAAAAUCUUUUUAUCAAAAAACUGCAUGUUUCCAGUAGAUAUUCAUAUGGGUGAUUUCAAGUGCCUGAAUGCAAUAGUGAAUAAUGAAUCGUGGUUAUGGCAUUUACGCUUUGGGCACUUAAAUUUUCAGAGUUUGAAAAAUCUUUCCAAAAGAAAUUUAGGCUUUGUUUGGAUUAGGGAGUGGAAAUGAGGGAGUGGAUUUGAGAUGAUUUGAAGAGAAACUGUAAAGAAAGUUAGGGUGUUUGGAUUAAGGUAAAGAGAGGGGAAAGUGUAGGGAAAGUUUAUAAAAGUUUGUGAGUGAUGUGAUGGAUGUGAUUGAAAUUGUAUUUUUUUUAAUUGAUAAAAAUGUAACUUUACACAUUUGCCCUUAUAUUUAAAAAAUGAUAAAAAAAAUUAUUUUGAUUGAUUAUUUGUGAAUUACAUUUUUUUUAAAUUAAAAUUAUUUUUUCGACAAUUGAAACAUUAUUUUUGAUACCGUGUUCGAGCUAACUUCGGAAAAUUAUAAAUUAUAUAAAUUUUUUGGAUCAUAUUUAUGAUUGAUAAACAUUAUUGAGAACAAAGUUGUAAUUGUGAAUUAUUUAUUUUUCAAUUAUAGUUGUAUGCAAUUAAAAGAUUAUUUUCGGUAUGGAACAAAUUAUUUCUCAUAAUGUGUUGGAUGUAUAAUUCGAUAAAGGAUUUUUUUUUUAAGAAAUAAAUAUUAAUGUGUAUUAAUGCAGUAUUUUAGUUUAUUAAAGCAAAAUUCAUUGAUAAAUUUUGUGCAUAAUAAUAAUGAUUCAGAAAAUCAUAUGAAUGAUACAAUGAAAUAUGUUUCAUUCAAAAUAGUCAUGGAAGUCCUUAAUUUGUUUAGGGAUUCGUGUCAUUAAUAAGAUUACAGAUUCGAAAAGAAAAACACAUAUGCAUAAUAAAGUACAACCAAAUUUUUACGUAGUUUAGGGAUUUGUAGUCAUUAUCUUGACCAGCUUUCUCAUUCUUCGCUCAAGAGGCAGGCCAAAGAGUUGUUUUACCGCAUUAGGAUGACCACACAAGAAGUCGUAACAAUUAUCUAACAAAUCUCCAUCUUGUAUGUUCAUCUCCACUAACAUUUCCCAGAUGUCAUAUUCAGAGUACUGGAAAGUCGAUGUACGAGGAAGUGUGCGCGUGUGUUCACGAAAUAUGGAGUUUCGUUCUUCUUCUGCAACAACAUGGCGUCUGUUAUAUUGCAGAUUUUCUUCCGUAGCAUUAGCCACUCGCUGUGAUGACAAAGCGACAACCUUAGAUGAAAUGGCUUGUCGCUCAGCAAUAUGACAUAACCUAUCUGACUGAUCAGUACCCCUCCCAAGGAUAUCAGUUAAUCCUUCAAACCUUGUGUUAAGCCUUUCCAGUUGCAGAUCAAUGACGUCCACCAUAGGGGCUUUUCUUUUUGAGCCUCUAGAAGAAGAAGUACCACCUGAUGGCUGGGAUGACUGAGGUGGCACCAAUGGGGGUGUCAAAUUAGGGUCAGGGCUGUAUGAAUCAACAUUAGGAUCAGCUGAGCGAGGAGUUUCACAUUGAGUAGCAUCCAAUCCUGGCUCCUCUAGGAUGUCCUCCAUAUUGUGAUCAUUAAGAUCUACAUUAAAAUGAUGAGACUGAGUUCGAUUUGAGGACUGCAAUGUUGUUCUUCCACCGUGGCCAGUAGCACGAUCAAGCCCCCAAAGUCUUCCAUCAACUUGUAGUGCCUGAUGGGAUUAACACGCCAUUUUGCGGUCGAGGGCUUUGCCUGUUCAUUAAUGAAAAGAAAUACACUCAUAAUCAUAAUUAGUGGUUAAUGUAUGCGAUAAGUGAACAUCAAGUUGAAUAUGUUACCUUUAUCAACGAAUCUCACACUUCAUCCUCGGCCUCGAAAAUUUUCGUGCUUGGAUUCCAAGCAAAACCACUCAGUCCACUAAAUAGAUCAUGGAUCUCACGCCAUUUGUCCUUAAGGCUUUUCUGCCUGUUCUUCACAUUAUUUUUUGUAAUCCCUACCAAUCCAGUCUGAUGUAAGGAUUUAACAAUGUUUGUGUAACCCUGCGUCGUCCAACUACCAUCAAUGCGGUUACCCAUAGAUGCCUCAUCGAUCAUGGCAUUCAGCAAUCGGAAAUCCAUGUCGGUAGUCCAUUUUUUGUGUUCACGGACAACUGCAGAUGACUCUGAAGCAAUACCCUUCCCGUGAUCCAUGAUAAAACCUAAUAAAAAAGGUUAAAACUUUAGUACAAUAACNNNNNNNNNNNNNNNNNNNNNNNNNNNNNNNNNNNNNNNNNNNNNNNNNNNNNNNNNNNNNNNNNNNNNNNNNNNNNNNNNNNNNNNNNNNNNNNNNNNNUCAUACGUAAAUAUUAAUAAAGGUGGAAUGUCAACAUUAAACCAUGAAAUUGUUCUUACAACAAUAUAAAUAUAAGUUCACGGAUGUUACAUAAAAUUAAUUAUUACAAUAACCUUUCCACAUUUCAUUCGCUAUAGUAUCCCUAAUUUGUGACCCGAGCCUGUAGUCAUCCUCACGAGUUUGCGAGUGUGACACAUCUAUAUCUCCUUGCAUCAACUCACGGUCAACUUCUUCCAACAAAGAGUCAUCAUUAUCCACCCCGCGAAGAAAGUUAUGAAGAAUACAACAUGCUAAAACAAUAUCGGUCAUAGUGUCCACAGAGUAAUGAGGCUCUGUUCCGCUAAUGAUAAUUGGAAAUCGCUUUUUGAGGACACCAAAUGUUCUUUCGAUAACAUUUCUUAGUGAGGAAUGACGAUGAUUAAAUAACUCACGGGCAUUUUGUGGACCUCUUCGGGAAUACUCUUUUAGAUGGUAUCGAACUCCGCGAUAUGGAGUUAUAACUUGGGUUUUGAGCAUAAAACCCGCAUCUCCAAGGUAGUAUUUGCCUACAACCAUCCAUUAAUAAUUGUUACUUAUAAGUGAAUUUCAUGUCAAAAUCANNNNNNNNNNNNNNNNNNNNNNNNNNNNNNNNNNNNNNNNNNNNNNNNNNNNNNNNNNNNNNNNNNNNNNNNNNNNNNNNNNNNNNNNNNNNNNNNNNNNNNNNNNNNNNNNNNNNNNNNNNNNNNNNNNNNNNNNNNNNNNNNNNNNNNNNNNNNNNNNNNNNNNNNNNNNNNNNNNNNNNNNNNNNNNNNNNNNNNNNNNNNNNNNNNNNNNNNNNNUCGAUUGUUGUUUAAGAUAUGAGGUUCAACCUCAGUCCCAGCUGGUUGAAUUAAGAACUCUCCAUGCAUCAUCAAUAUUGCUUUCAAAACAUUAUGAAAGUGACGAGACACUGUUUCCCCGGACCGAUGAAAGAAGAACGAAACACUUCGAUUCUUGACGUUAUAACCAAUGAUGUGUAAAAAUUUAGCCACUUGUUCUUCAACUAUAGAUCGAAAUGCAUCUUUAACCAUAUCCGUUCCUCUUAUUCGUUGACAUAAAUUAAUAAAUGCUUCCGGACUCAUGCGAAUAAUGUCACGACAUCUUUCAGUAUGGACCAAGUACGACAUCAAUUCUUGUCGACGACGCUCUUUUUGUGGAAUAAACUCCGGUAUAGGAUUAUUUGUCUCGGUUAACACACGCAAUACGUUCAAUCCAUAUCCAAUCAUGCAAAGAAUUGUCAUUGCUGCUACUUAUGUCCGCAAAUUGAUUUGCUCUUGUAUUUGUGAAACUAGUGUGAAAUCAACACCAACUACAUCGGGAUUCAUGUCAUUCGUGCUAGACAUCUCGACAUUUUUGAAAUACAUAGACCAAUGGUUAUCGUUAUCCAUGGUCACAAAUCCUUGACAAUCAUAUAAGUUUAACUAUUAGGUCUAAAGAACCACCUUUUAGAGAAAUAAUAAUACUCAAUUUUUUUUACUUUUAAAAAAAAUUAAAAUAUUAUAUAUAAACUCUGUAAAGUGUUAUAAUUAUAGUUGUAUUACAAAUUCAAAAUAAUAUUUAUAAAUUUUUUUUUACUUGAUUUUAGGAAAAAAUAAAUAUUAUAUAUAAACUCUGUAAAGUGGUAUAGUUAUAGUUGUAUUAUAAAUUCAGAAUAAUAUUUAUAAAAUUCUUUUACUUGAUUUUAGAAAAAAUAAAAUCUUAUAUGUAGACUAUCUAUAAAGUAAUAUUUUAAAAUAUUUAAAUACUUUGUAUACUUAUAAUUAUUUUAUAAAUUCAGAAUAAUAUUUAUAAAAUUCUUUUACUUGAUUUUAGAAAAAAUAAAAUCUUAUAUGUAGACUAUCUAUAAAGUAAUAUUUUAAAAUAUUUAAAUACUUUAUAUACUUAUAAUUAUUUUAUAAAUUCAAAAUAAAAUUUAUAAAGUCUUUUAGCUGAUUUUGGAAAAAAAUAAAUAUUAUAUGUAAACUAUCUAUAAAGUAGUAUUUUAAAAUAUUUUGUAUACUUAUAAUUAUUUUAAAGCCUGUUCAAAAUAAUAUUUAUAAAGCUUUUUACCUGAUUUUAGGAAAAUUUAAAUAUUUAAAUAUUUUGUAUACUUAUAAUUAUUUUAUAAAUUUAAACUGAUAUUUAUAAAGUUUUUUACUUUAUUUUUAGAAAAAAAUAAAUAUCAGAAACAAUUUAAAUAUUAAUAAGUUUGUUUUAACUAUCAGAAAACUCAUUCAAACUUUCAUUAAUGCUCAUUAAUUCUCAUCAAUAUACUCAUCAAUGUGAUUAAGAAAAAACUUUGAAAACUCAAAAAGGCAGCAGCAUUCUAUUAAUUCUAUUAACAUAAAUAAAAUAAAUUACAAAUUCCUUCCCUCCACAUUUCAUUCUCAUAUUUUAUUCUCCAAAUUCCAAAUCUAUGUAUGAAACUUACCUCCAGAAACCUAGAGAAAACGAUGCCACCGCGAACCACCAACGACCACCGAGCACCACCAGCGGAACCACCACCCACCACCAGCAACGAAACCGUCCACGUCCAACGACCACCAACAACGCCGCCUACGGAACCCCACCCACACCUUGCACCUCCGACAACCGCACACCUCCAACACUUACGAACCUCCGACAACCGCUCACUUCCAACGGUUGUGAACCUCCGACAACCGCGCAUAUCCACCGCGUACCUCCGACGAGCACCUCCGACAACCGCGCACAUCCACUGUGUACCUCCGACGAGCACCUCCGACCGCUUCUAAGGGUACUCCCUCAACUCAAAACAAAUAACCCACCUCCACUCCUCUUCCAUAUUUAUCAUCUCUCUCAUUUAUUCAUCACCCACACACUUGAAUUUAUCCACCAAACAAUGUACGAAUCCCUGUUUGUGCUGUGUUUGUGUUGUGUUUAUGCAAGGAAUCUCAUGCGUGAGAAUGGAGAGAAUAUUGGAGUUGCAUGGCACGGGCAUAGGCAGCUAUGGCACAUAGGUUAGGUGAACGGAUGGGUAAUAUGGUAAAAUGAGAAAGUUUCUCUCCAAAUCUUCUCAUCUCAUCAGGGAAGCCUUUUUCCCUUUCUUUGCUUUUCUUCGCCCCCUAAUCCCCGCUAACUCCCAGAUACAAACAUCAGAUUUAUUUCCUUUUCAAUCCGGGUGAACAGUAAUCACCCGGAUACAAACACAGCAUUAGUGAAUGGUUUACCCCAUAUUCAUCACCCUGAUCAAUUGUGUGAGGCUUGCUUUUUGGAAAGAAUCAUAGGAUACCAUUUGUUAAGGAGCCUUGGCGUGCAAAAUUUCCUUUGGAGCUUGUUCAUACUGAUGUUUGUGGCCCGAUGAACAUAUCAUCAGUUGGAGGUAAUAAGUAUUUUUUAACCUUUAUUGAUGAUUUUUCAAGGAAAACCUGGAUUUUAUGUAUUGAAAAGCAAGGAUGAGGUAUUCCACUGCUUUAAAAUAUUAUAUUUAAAGCAUUUGUUGAAAGACAUAGUGGCAGACAAAUUAAGAUGGUGUGUAAUGAUGGAGGGGGUGAGUACAAGUCUAAUGAGUUCAAGAGGCAUUGUGAGGAACUUGGGUUGCAGCAUAACAUAACCUGUCCCUACACACCUCAACACAACGAAGUUGUUGAGAGAAAAAAUAGAACAAUCAUGGACACGGCGAGGAGCAUGCUUAAAGCAAAAGGUAUGCCAAAUUAUUUUUGGACUGAGGCCGUAACAUGUGCGGUAUAUUUGAUAAACAGAUCACCCACUCGGAGUGUUCCUAACACAACUCUGAUUGAGGCAUGAAGUGGAUUCAAACCCAAUGUGCAGCACUUGAAGGUAUUUGGGUCAAUUACUUAUGCUCAUGUUCCCAAGGCAGCAAGAUCGAAGUUGGAUGAUAAGGCAGAGAAGACCAUUUUCAUUGGAUAUAAGCAUGGGGAUACAAAUUGUACAAUCCAAUGACAAAGAAGGUGAUUGUUAGUCGUGAUGUUACAUUUGCCGAAGAUGAGGAAUGACAAUGGAAUGCAACAGUUGAAAUUGAUUCAAAAAAACGAUAUAUUUACGUUUUGAACGAUGAUGUGGAAGAUGGAGUCACUCUUAAAGCACCUACAGUUCAACCUGAAGCUGUAAUUCAACCUGAAAAUGCAACUCCAAUUGCAACUAUGAUGGAGCGACCAAGAAGGCAACAACGACAACCUGUACACCUUCAAGACUACGAAGUAAAUCUUGACGAUGAAGUUGAUGACAAUGGAGAUUUAGUUCACUUUGCUUUUGUUGCAGACUCAGAACCUGUGAGACUUGCCGAUGCCAUUCAACACCCCAAAUAGCAAAAGCCUAUGAAUGAAGAAUUGAUGGCGAUUGAGAAAAACAAUAUCAUGACUCAAAUUGGGAAGGAUGUUCCAAAUCAUAAUUAAGGGAGGAUGUUGGUUAUUAAUUCUGAUUUUAUUAUUAUUAAUUCUGAUUUUAUUACCUUAAACUAUUUUACCGUUAUAUUGCAUUAAUGGUCAGUUUAAUGGCAUGUUAGUAUUCCUAUUUUAUAUAGGUUCCAGUAAUUGUAAUUUUAUUAUAUAAAUGAUUGAGUAAAUUAAAAUGAAUAGAAUCAAUUUUACAAUUUCGUGCAAUUACGUUCAAUCAACAUCUAAUUUAAAAAACCAUUUUUGCAUAGGACGGAAAAUAGUUCGCGUCCUAUAAGCAAAGCUAAAUUUUAUUCUCACUAGUUUUAAACACUACAAAAAAAAACUUUUAUUAGAAAGGGCCAAAGGCGGACACUAAUCACAAAAAGCCCACGCAAAGAUGCAAUUAACGUGGGCUUUGCCUUCACACAACUUUGAAGCUAAUAUCCUUGUCGCAAAAAAACUGUCGGGUGCGUGGCGUCGCAAAAUGUUGGCUUGCGUGGGCUUUGCCUACAAGUUGCCAACACAAAAAAUUACAAAUGUUAACUUAAGCGGGGGCUUAGCCUUGGACAGAAAAUGAGGGCUUAGGCUUAGCUAGGGGGACAAUAAAAUUAGCGUGGGCUUAGCCUUGGAUAAGGGGACAAUAAAAGUAAAAAUAAAGCGUGGGCUUAGCCUUGGAUAGUGGGACAAUAAAAUUAGAAUAAAGCGAGGGCUUGACCUUGGUAAAGUGACAAUGAAAUUAGAAUGGGCUUAACCUUGGAUAUGUGGACACCUUUUUUUUUGUAUGCACUAUUUUUGGCAGCUAUUGAACUCCACUUUUAAAUAAAAGUUUGGAUUUUAAAUAUUAAAUAUUAAUAUUUUUUAAUUUGCUUUUUUUUUUGCAAUAGCAUUAAAAAGAAAAAAACAUCAAUGAAUUGAUAAGUUAAAAACUAAAAAACAAAAGUAAUGAAUAAAUUAUUAUAUUGAUGAAUAAAAAGUGUUUAAGCACCGGAAGAUGGACAUUAAUUAGUUAGCUUGGUUAUCUUAGUGAUUUCAUUAUUCUUCUUCUUAGGUUUAAGCUUUGUUGAAAUGCCUUCCAUUUGCGCUGCUUACUAGUUAUGUUUUAUCAAAACAUAUGCAAUGAAAAAACUAUCAUUUUAAUACAUUUAAGAAACAUUGUUCUAUAAUAAAUAUUUUUAUUAUAGAAAGUUAUGCACCCAACAGCUGGUUCUCUAGCUUAAGUUAUGCUUAAGUUAGUAAUUUAGCUGGAUGACCACAGUUGUGAAUGAGUAGUUUGAUAGGCUGGUUCUCUAGCUUCCAUGAUCAUCUUUUCUGGAUUCUAUGAAUAUAUUGUUUAUCAAGUUUCUCUGGACACAUAACAUAGUAUCUAAAAUUGGGGAUCGUACAACAACAACAAAGGUUUAAGGAUAGCUACAUACACAAACAUUUAAAUCAUAUGGUAUAACAUCUUGGCUCUUAUAUGUUAAAGAGAUGAUUAUAUUCAAAAUUGUAUAUUGAUCACACAGAAUCCUCUAUGGAGUUACUAAUUAAAUUGCAGAUGUCACUGCAUAUACCCUAAAAGAGNNNNNNNNNNNNNNNNNNNNNNNNNNNNNNNNNNNNNNNNNNNNNNNNNNNNNNNNNNNNNNNNNNNNNNNNNNNNNNNNNNNNNNNNNNNNNNNNNNNNNNNNNNNNNNNNNNNNNNNNNNNNNNNNNNNNNNNNNNNNNNNNNNNNNNNNNNNNNNNNNNNNNNNNNNNNNNNNNNNNNNNNNNNNNNNNNNNNNNNNNNNNNNNNNNNNNNNNNNNNNNNNNNNNNNNNNNNNNNNNNNNNNNNNNNNNNNNNNNNNNNNNNNNNNNNNNNNNNNNNNNNNNNNNNNNNNNNNNNNNNNNNNNNNNNNNNNACUCUUGAACAACAAAACAGAUCCAUGCAUAAUCCAAAUAUAAAACAAUACCAUUUCUAAUUUUUGGAUUGAUUUCCAUAGUGAAUCUAAUUACACCAAAAUGAAGAAGUUUGUGAUUGAACAUUGAAAGGCAAUGACACUUGCCAAAUGUUUUAAGCAAAGAUAGAUGUCACAACCCAGUGUGUCUGUCUUCCCAGAGGAUGAAAAGAGAACAUAUAUAUCUACGUACCUCACAAAAUUGCAAUAUUUUCCCAAAACAGAAAAAUGAGAGAUACUGCAUGAACACACUGCCAAUAAGAUACUUACCCAAAAUUGCAAUCCUUUUUUCCUUGCUUAUAUCACGAACUUUUACUGCAUGAACACACUCACUCAUCACAACACUACCAAGAAGAUAAAAACAUGCACAUCACAACACUACCAAGAAGAUAAAAACAUGCUCAUCACAACACUGCCAAGAAGAUAAAAACAUGCAAAGAGUCAUGCAUGCAAUGUGAGUAAUACAUAAAUGACUCAACCUCUCCAUGUCUUUCUAUUGCAUUGCAUAAAUUCUUGUCAAGGAAACUACAAACCAAACUUAAGAAAUGUUUUAAGAAAACUAACAAAAUGAUGAACUCAAGGCAGGGGUUGAUCCAAAAUUUGCUACACCAAAACAAAUCCAAAAUUAAUUCACUACUAGAAAACUAAAGAUCAAUAAUUCUCUCCUUAAUUUCAAUUACACCAUGUAAAAGGGUCAAAUUUCACUAUGAAUCCAGGACUGGUAAAAGCUAAGAGAAGCCUAAAUUACUUAGAAAUGGACAACUUAAAAAAGAGAGUAAAAAUUGCGAAAAAAAAUGCAUAAGGGGCAAUAGAGAAAGAAGCAAGAGUUCACUGACAAGUGGCAUGGCUGAACAGGGCAAGAAACAUAAACUUUUAAUGGCCAUGAUAUAUUUUCUUUAUCUUUUUUUCACAAUUAAUUCAGUACUUCAUAUUAAGUAGUUAAAAAUUCUGCCAGACAAAUCCUCCCCAAAUUACACGACCUCUAAACCCACAAGAACUGCCAGACUGCCAGUCAAACUACAAGGUUAGCAAUGAAUCCAACCAAAACUUAGAAUCCAAACAAGAAGUUUAGUCAGUCACAAAUAAAGACUCAAGAAUGGUAAGGGUAACAAAACCUAAAGCUUCACAAAUCCCCUGGGAUGUGUUUCCACAUCUUACCUCACAUAUCAGUCUGGAAAAAUAUGCUCUAUCUACAAUGUUUCAAAUAAAGGGGAGACAUCUUCCCUGAGCAUUUUAUUAUUACUAACCUAUGAUUUGCUAAAAAGAAUCAAACAAAAACAAUAUUCAAAUUUAUGUUUUUUAAUCCCUGCUGAAAAAGAACUAACACAAAGUUACAUAUGAUAGAUUUUUGUCAUCAAAUAAAUAACUACAUCCAAACUCAAGUAAGCAUCUCCUUCCAGUAUUUAGAUCUCCUACCUCACAUCCGUGGCUUGUUUUUCGUGUACACUAGCAGAUUUUAAUCCUUAACCGGUUUUACAUGCUAAAAAGAAAUGAACACAAACGAAUCAACACCUAGACAUAAAAAAUUUAAGAACUAUAUUUAAAUUCAAAUAGAUAUUGGUAAUAAAGACCAAGAAUUUAAGAAAGCAUAAGAUGAAUUGAAGGAAUAAAAAAACCAGAGAAAUUCAAAUAGUCAGUCCCAGUUAAAGACAAAAAUAUGUGUGGAUGCAAAGAAGAUCGAUAAUCAUGCAACACAAAUUAGGCAAGAACAUUGUUCCUUUGCACGAACCAAGUUCAAGUUCAAAAUUCAUUUGUCAAUGAAAGAAACUAAUAAAGUAUAUCUGACAGACACAUCAUAUAUUACAAACUUCAAUAAUCAACAAGAACUAUAUUCAAAUUUAUAUUUUUUAAUCCUCAACUGGAAUCAUGUUGAAAACGAACUAACGCAAGCACAUAAACGGUUACAUAUGAUAGAUCUAACAUAAAAUAAAUAACUACAUCCAAACUCAAGUAGACAUUUGUCAUGAAAGAAAGACAAAAAAUGUAGGAUAACAAAACCUAACGCAUCAAGGAUCUCCAUCCAGUAUUUAGAUAUCCUACCACACAAAGAAAUCAACACCUACACAUACAAAUUUUAAGAACAAUAUUUAAAUUCAAAUAGAUAUCAAUAAUAAAAACCAAGAAUUUAAAAAAGGAUAAGAUAAAUUAAUGAAUUCAAAAACCGGUGGAGCCUUAGUUGCUCAAAACACGCACGAUGAGGUAGAAGAUUCAACCCUUAGGCCUUAUAUAACAUACUCCAUGAUAUGGUGCAGGGCAUUAAGUGAAAAUAAUUCAAACAUCGAACACAAUUCAAUCCUUGGAGAUCAAGUAGAGAGAAAUUAAACAAUAGAGAGGAAACUCAUCAAGAAAUUAGGAUAUCCUGAGCUGCAGUCGUUUUAAACUCUUUUAGAGUUUAGGGUUUCAAAUAUCAAGUAGAAAAAAUUCAAUCAUCGAACACCAUUUAAUCCUUGGAGAUCAAGUAGAGAGAAAUUAGGGAAACAAAACAUAAUACUUCACAUCAUGUCCUACACUACACCACACAUCCAUUGCGUGCUUUCCCUGUACAGCCCAAAAAUUCAAGAAACGAAUUAGCUGUACAGCCAAAAAUUCAUGAAAACGAAAUAACCUCUUAAUAAAAAGAAGUAUAGAAAAAUGAUAAAAAUGAAGAUGCAGAUGCAGAUAAAGACUAAAAAAGACUUGGACAGUUACACAACCAAACACCACUGCAGACAAACACCAAUAAACAAAUCAUAAUCCAAUCCUUAUUUUCGGUGAUCAAUACCAGAUAAAUUAAAUAAUAGAAAGGAGACUAAAACAAGACUUGGAUCAAUUGGCCUUUCUAAACUAUUAUGUUUUUCAUUUCAUCGAUAGACAAAACAAAUCUCAAAACCAAGUCACCAGCAGAAAAGGGAUAAAGGAAUUUGAUCAAAAGAUUCAAAACUUGCCAUCAUCACAAAGAAUCACAUUCGGCGUAAAUGAAUCACAAUCCAAUAAAAGCACAUUAAUCACUUACAAAUAAUUUUUCUAUCCCACGACGCAAACAUCAUGUAAUUCUACAAAACCUUAUAGAGAAUCACAACAAUAACCGAAGCAAUACUAACAAAACUGAUCUUGGAUAUAUAUGUAAUACUAACCAAUGACUAAAUCUAAUAACCCAGCAACCAGAAACUAAAUCUAAUAACCCAGCAACCAGAAACACAGUGUUAGGGUACAAUCGAGAUGGAUUGAAAACGAAAGGAAAUGCAAAACUUACGAUGUUAGGGCACAAUCAAGAACACGGUCGUACUCCGGUCGCAAUGCUUGAAUGCUCAACAGAGAGAGUACUUCGGUCGCAAUGCUUGAAUGCUCAACAGAGAGAGUACUCCGGUCGCAAUGUGAGAAUGUUGUUGAUGCUGAGGAAAAGUGGAGUGAAGUGAGUAUUGCAUGGAGAGAAUUGCUUCAGAAUUGAAAAAUGAAAGAAGAAAAAGAAAAGAAGGGAUUAAAGUAAAGCAAAAAUAAAAAUUAAUUAUUUGUGUGUAAUUUGCAUGGGCUUAACCUUCUUAUUAUUUAAAUUUAAUUUUAAAACUUUUAACGUGGGCUUAACCUUCAAAUAUUUAAAUUUUAAUUAUUUUUAUAAUUUUAGUAGCUGCCAUUUCAACAACGCAACCAUUAUUAUUAUUUUUUUUUUGAAGUUUACGUGAGAAUAACACACGCUUUCCUCACACCUUAUUUAAUUUAUUUUAGGUUUAAUGGAUACUAUAUAGUGUCCACUUAUGGCCUUCAAUAUUUGUUUGCAGCUAAAUUAAGAUUUCUUUGUAAUGAAAUAACUUUUUUUUUACCACCAAAAGGAAUUUAGAAAAAACGAGAAAUUGAACAAUAAGAUGAACGAUGUGAUAAAGACCAAAUAAAAAUAUAUUAAGAAUAAAAUCAUUUUAGUGUUACUUAUAAAAGAAUAGUACACAUCAGAUUUCUCUGGUUACUGAUAAUAGAAUUUAUAUAAUAAAUAAAUUAUUCAUACGAGAUUACAUAAAACUAACUCAAAUUUAACCAUAGAUUGAUGACAGCUUCAUAUAUUGGAGUUUUUUUACGUGAAUUUUUUAUUAUUAUUAAGACUCUUAGGACCAAUCAAACAAUAGAACACAGUUUGAAGAGUCUUAUCAUGUACGCAACGAAGUACCAAAUAAAAUUUUGAGAUGUGUUACAACUAUACCUGGUAAAAGUGGGAUAGUCCAACCUCAUUAAACUCUUCAAGAAAAAAAUGUGAUCAUAUAGACUACUCCAUAAUUUCAACAAACACCAAUUUUCAGGUUUAGUUCCAUUCUAUAUUAUAACAUUUCAUUUUCACUUAGAAAAAAUAAAUUCACCUCCACACUUACAACUUUAUCUACUUAAACCAAUUUAAUCCAACUACGUGUUAAGAAUAUAAGUAUAAAUUUGAGUCUCAUUUAAUAAAUAUAAGAAGUUGAAUAACAAAUAACUAUGAAUAAAUAUAAAAAGUUGAAUAACAAAUAACUAAUCUUAAGUUUAGCACAAAACACAAUUAGUUCAACUAAAAACUUACAAAAAAUAUUGGAAGCAUCAAUGGAGCUUAUUGCAAUAAAAAAAAAUCUAAACAAAACAUUGUUUUGUUAAAAUGUGCAUCUAUUAGUUAAUAAGUUUAUUAUAAAACUUGUAUUGAUUUUCAUUUUCACUCAAAUUAUUUUAUUUUUUUAUAUCUUUAAUCAUGUAACGACAUGUUAUAUUCUUUUGUAGGAUAUCAUAUGAACCCGAGGGAUAAUUAAGACAAAGGUUUGGAUUUCUAAAAAUAAUAUUAAUAAUGCAAAUAAUAUUAAUAAUCUAAAUAAUAUUUAUAAAAAAAUUAUACUAGACAUUACAAACAUCUCACUUAUAUUGACAUUUCAAAUUUCAACCACCUCUAUUGAAAAAAAAAAUUAUUAAACAAGUAAAAAAAAAUACAAACAAGUACGAGAAAUUAAAACAAAAUCCAUACUAACCAUAAAAUACAUCAAAACUAAACAAGAGAAACAUAGUUAAUUUAUACCUAUUAUGGAAAAUGUUCAAGAAUAUAUUAAAAUAAUAUAUUAAAAUACAGUCUAUUAUACCAAAUAAAGUCUUACCUAUAAAGAAAGUCUAAAUUGACAGAUUUAUCAUUACCCCUCUUAAAAUAUGAAAGACAUACUUUUACAAUAAAUAAGACAUUUAUUUCAUUUAUUCUUAAUAAAUCAUCAAGUCACAUGAGUCAUAGAAGGAAAAGCAAAGCAAACUAAUAUGAUUCACACUCUUACCAUAAUAAAUUAUAAACCAAUGUAAAUAACAUUUAAUGAGGGAUAAAUUUUUUCAAUAAAUAAUAAUAUUUUUUAAUUUAUUUUUAGUUAUUUGUGAAUCUCAUUUCGAUUUGAUAUUUAAUUUGAGUGUCAUAUUGUCAUUAACCAAUAUUUAAUUGUUUUUUCUCUUAUUCUAUUAUUGUGUCAUUCCAUUUGGAGCAAUAGAGGGGCUAGUUUAGUGUAUGUGUUGGCAUUUGAUUUGUUCCUUUUCGGUAUGUUCGUACAAGGUAAAAUCGUAAAAAGGAAAAAUUAGAAAACUGUCUUGUUAGAGUAUUGUGUUAGCAUAAUAUUGAUCUCAAAAUAAGGUUAUUUUGUAUGUUAUUGUUUUAUAAAUCUCAAAACAAAUUUUGCAGGUUCAAGAAAAAGCUUUGGAAUAUGGAAAUUAAAUAUAAAUAUUUAUCAAAGAAUAGAAAAAUACUUCAAGUUAGCAUGUUCCUCAAUUGGAAUAUCGAUCUCAAAAUAAGUUUAUUUUUGUACUUCACUAUUUUAUAAAUCUCAAAAAAAAAUUGCAGGUUCAAGAAAAAGCUUCGGAAUAACAAAAUUAAAUUUAAAUAUUUAUCAAAGGAUAAAAAAAAAAUUAAAAAAAAAAUACUACGAUCAAGUUCAUUUUCUUGAAAACUUUACGAGCUCUAAAAUAAAUAAAAAAUACAACUAAUUAUUCAGAAAUUUAUGAACUUGGAAAUUUUUAAUUUUCAUUAAGAAUAAUUAUUUUUUAUGAUAUGUUAUUUGCAAUUAAUUAAUCUAGUAAAAAAUUACAAUCAAAUAACGAGACUAUUGAUAAAUUAAAAGGUAUUCGUUUAUUUUAUUUCUGUAAAUUAUAGGAAAAAUGAAUUUGAAAAUGCAUUGUCUUCUGCUAAAGAAAUUGCUUUUGAAAUAGAUACAGAGUAUAAGUUAUGUGAAAAACAUGGUAGAUCUGUUGAUAAUAUAAGUUAUGUGAAAAACAUGGUAGAUGUGUUGAUAAUGAAAUUCUAAAAUCUCCUAAAAAAUCAUUUAGAUUUUAUGACUUUCUAUACAUUCAAAGAAAACAAUUAACUCCAAAGUUGAUUUAAGAAUUCAAAAUAUAAGAAAAUAUGAAAAAUAUUUGAAGAAUAAUUUCGUGAUAUUGAUGGAUUAUAUUUAUUUUCAAAAUUUAAUAUCUUAAAAGAAAUGACAGAAUUGAAAAAUAAUAACUAAUUGACCUUCUAAAUCAUAUAAAAUAAAUAAAUUAUUUUCCAAAUAUAUAUAUAAGAGAGGGAUUACAGGUAAUAAAAUAAUAUAAAUAUUCUAGUACUACCAAUAUAAUCAAGAAAUUAAGGUGAAUGAGAAUUUAUAUUUUUUUUCUCCAAUCCAUAAAGAAAUGUUUUAAAAAAAAUCAUUAUAAAAGAUCGAUCUAUUAUAAAGUGGAUUUUAAGCUUAACUCAAUCCCAUAAAACUGGUUUAAUCCCAUAAAACUGGUUUAUAGGGUUGAGGAUUGCACCCACUUAUAUACGAUGAAAGACUCUAAUCUCUAGUCGAUGUAGAUUCCAACAUCAACCUCAAAUAAUAUUUCUUGUAAUUAAGAUCAAAACAGUAAACGAUUACAAUAUCGAUUGAUUUCGUUGAAAUGAUUUUUUUAAAACUAAAAGUUACUUAAUAUUAUCAACGAAACCCGAGGCUCACCUCUCCUUUGACCAUGUUAAUUCACAAUCUCUUUCACUAUGCCAUUAAAUGAGUUUGGAACAAGUUUUGUCUUUCUCACCGUCGUCAUGCUUCCCAAGGACCCAUUCACUUAACUCUUCGUGCGUUCCAAUGCAAACAAGUCAGGGUUUUGAUUUGCUUCCUACGAAUCCAAAAUUAGUAACUACAGAAUGUUGUUUGUUGUUGACUCUACAAAUUUAGGGUGGGAAAGAAAAGUUUAUAUCAUACUACUCCACUUCAUAUGCUACUUCAUUUGAUUUUUUUAUUGGUUGUUCUUUGAUGAAGUUUUUCAUUGCUGUUGAUGUUCUUGGUGGUUCUUUGGUCAAGGUGUCUAUUGCUACACGGUGUGUGGGUGAAUUUGUUGGUGACUAGAUUUUUUUGUUAUCAUGGGCUGGUGCAUAGUUGUACCUUUUUUUUUUCAUUGAAAAUUUAAUUUGUAUGGGUGAAAUCUAAACUAUAAAGAUGAUGAAAUUUGCUAAUUCUAGAAUACGUUGUGAUUUUGCAACUAUUUUAUUUUACUUCUACUAUGUGUGAAUUUAGUAAGGUUGAAACCAUCUUGAAAUCUUUUUUAUAUUUAUUUAAACUAUGAUUUGACUCUCGCUAUUUGUUUAUAUUUUAAUAUUAAUUAGGACUUAAUCCUCUUUAAGUUAGAGUAUGUUAAGGUUGCGACCUCUCUAGGUUAGAGUAAGCAAGGUCUUGAUCCUCUCUCUAAUUUAGAGUUAAAGUUUUCCAAUUUCCAAUAAACAACUCUUUUACGUUGUUAAGCCCACUCUAUUAACGAGAGUCCAAUCUACAUUAUUAGUUUCCACUUAGAGAGGACUUAUGAUUGUUAUAGGUUGACGUAAAUAAAAAAGUCAUUUUCAAUCCGUUCACGGUGUAUGGAACACUAUAUGUCCACAUUAAUUAUAAUGUAACGACUUCUUUUUCAAUUUUAGUCCAUCUUUGACUCAUGCUAUAGACAUUUUUCUUGUAAUUUGAUAACUUUGGAUAUUAGAAUGAGAAAUUUUUCUCGGUCAUCAUCCACUGAAUUUGAGUGUUGGAGUGACUAAUAACUCAAUUAAGGGAAACUUCAAAAUAUUAAUUCAUAAAUCACAUUUAUUAUAGAUAUAAAUGUAAAUUUGAGAAUAGGGAAUUAUGAUUGUAUUAAAAAAUAAAUAUUAUUUGUGUGUUUUUAUAACAUGAUUGAUAAAACUUACGUAACCAUUUAAAAUUAAAGCGAAAUAGGAUUAAUUGAGAAAUGUAUCGAUUAGCACAUGUAUGUUCUUUUCAACGGCUUUGGUGACCUAAUUAGAAAACGUCAAACUAUACUGGCAACCUAACUGGAAAACUUCAAACUAUACAGCCAUUCCAUUACUUGUGGAGUAAGGCAAAAAUGCCUUUGUGUUUACUUUUCUAGUAUACGUGCAAGUGUACAGGUCCACUAAUUUCGCAUAUGGUUCUUUCAUUGGCUUUUUAUUGAGUAUAGAUAUGAAAUAUAUUUGGUCCACGUCAAAAAGAAAAAGAAUUGAAAGCGAAACCAAAAAGCGAAAAAAAAAGUAGAAUUAGAAAAUUAAAUAAAUGUUGAAGUUAUUUGAUAAAAUAUAAAUAAUUAUGUUUUCUAUUUCAUUUCUCCUAUUGCAUCAUAUCACGUGACCUAUUUAUAUUCAUAUUGAUUUACUAGGAUUAAUAGUGUUGGAAAGGAAAUAUCAAUUUUGUUUCUUCUACAACUUAACAAUUAACUUAAAUGCUUGUUUGGUAUUGUUAUAAAUCUGAGACUUAGACUGAAAAGUGAAUUGUGAACUUAUGUUUAUUAUUAGAUUAAAAAGUGAGUUGUGAACUUAGGUUUAUUAUUAUAAAUUAUUUAUACUUAUUUUAUUUGUGUAGUAAGUUACGUGUGUUUUUAUUAGUUGAAUGGUGUUGGUUAUUAAUUAUGAUUUCUAUUAUUAAUACUGAUUUCACCGUUAUACCGUUAUUGUUUCAUUAAUGGUUAGUUUACUUAUUUCCUUCCAUUAGUUUCCUACAAUUGGUAUCAAGAGCUAGUCUGUUAUCAUGAACUCUACCCAAUUACUAGUCCUAUGGAAAAAAUUACAAUCAGUGGUGUGUGCAAAUGAGAGUUUUUUUUAUUAUUUAUUAUCAUGAGUUAUGGGAUGUCGUUGAGGGUGGAGUGGUUGCAUUAGCUGUUAAUGCAAUUGAGGCGCAACGAGUAGCGCAUCAUGAUGACAAUAAGGCUUUGUAUCUCAUCCAUAGGGAUGAAUGACAAGACGUUUGAGAAAAUAUAAGGAGCAACAACUGCAAGUGAUGCUUGAAUCAUUUUGUCAACCAAUUAUAAAGGGUGAUGACAAGAUCAAUAGGGUGCGUCUUCAAACCCUAAGACGCCAAUAUGAACUGUUGCAGAUGGAAACCACAUAGAUUAUUGAUGUCUAUAUAAAUAAAGUUCUUGCCUUGACAAAUCAGAUGAAAAGCAAUGGUGAAACACAUUCGGAGCAGGCAAAGGUGGAGAAGAUUUUGAGGUCUUUAACUCCCAGAUUUGAACAUGUUGUUGCCGCAAUUGAAGAGGCCAAUGACAUUUAAAAAAUGACAGUAGGGUUAUUGUCUGGUUACCUACCAGCGCAUGAGCAGCGAAUGAAUGACAAUAAUAUUGAAAAACCAAUUGAACAGGCUUUACAAGCACAAGACUCAAUUGGUAGCUCUUAUCAUAAACACGGUAGUUCACGAGGCAGAGGACGGGGACAUGGUGGUAGCUAUUCCAGCAAAGGUCGUGGUGGCUAGAAUCAUGGAGGCGCUGAGCAAAAUAACAUUGGUUUCAAUCACAUUCCAAGUUCAAAUAACUCUUGACGUGGAGAACGUGAUCGCGGAGGAUGAGGAGGCAUUUAUAAUAAAUCAAAUGUGGAGUGUUAUAACUGUCAUAAACGCAACCAUUAAGCAAAUGAGUGCAGAUCAAAAAGUGAUAAUCAUGCUGCCAAUUGUGCUCAAGAAGACAGUAAUCACGUACAAGAUGAAGAGGAUCAUGCAUAACUAAUGACAGCCACAUCAAAUGAAACUCCAAACAAUCAGACUUGGUAUUUGGAUACAGGUUGCACAAAUCAUAUGUGUGGUCAAAAGGAGUUGUUUGCAUAUUUGGAUGACUCAUUUUGCACAAAAGUGAAAUUCGGUGAUGGCAGGGUCGUUCCGGUGACUGGAAAAGGGCGAAUUCUUAUCACAUUGAAGAAUGGUGAUCACAGGUACAUAUAUGAUGUUGUCUAUGUACCUGAUAUGAAAAGUAAUUUGUUGAGUAUGUGACAACUGGCUGAGAAGGGUUAUGUGAUGUACAUAGUUGAAAAUAAAUUCUCAAUUUUUGAUAAAAAAUGUAGUUUGAUUCUUAAAACCUUUUUAUCAAAAAACCGUAUGUUUCCAGUAGAUAUUCAUAUGGGUGACUUCAAGUGCUUGAAUGCAAUAGUGAAUAAUGAAUCGUGGUUAUGGCAUUUACGCUUUGGGCACUUAAAUUUUCAGAGUUUGGAAAAUCUCUCCAAACGAAAUUUAGUGAAUAGUUUACCCCAUAUUUAUCACCCUGAUCAAUUGUGUGAGACUUGCAUUUUUGGAAAGAAUCACAGGAUACCAUUUGUUAAGGAGCCUUGGCGUGCAAAAUUUCCUUUGGAGCUUGUUCAUAUAGAUGUUUGUGGCUCAAUGAACAUAUCAUCAGUUGGAGGUAAUAAGUAUUUUUUAACCUUUAUUGAUGAUUUUUCAAGGAAAACCUGGAGUUAUCUAUUGAAAAGCAAGGAUGAGGUAUUCCACUGCUUUAAAAUAUCAUAUUUAAAGCAUUUGUUGAAAGACAGAGUGGCAGACAAAUUAAGAUGAUGCGUAGUGAUGGAGGGGGUGAGUACAAGUCUAAUGAGUUCAAGAGGCACUGUGAAGAACUUGGAUUGCAACAUAACAUAACAUGUCUCUACACACCUUAACACAAUGGAGUUGUCGAGAGAAAGAAUAGAACAAUCAUGGACAUGGCGUGGAGCAUGCAUAAAGCGAAAGGUAUGCCAAAUUAUUUUUGGGCUGAGGUCGUAACAUGUGCGGUAUAUUUGAUAAAUAGAUCACCCACUCGGAGUGUUCCUAACACAACUCCGAUUGAGGCAUGGAGCGGAUUCAAACCCAAUGUGCAACACUUGAAGGUAUUUGGGUCUAUUACUUAUGCUCAUGUCCCCAAAGCAGCAAGAUCGAAGUUGGAUGAUAAGGCAGAGAAGACCAUUUUCAUUGGAUAUAAGCAUGGGGGAUACAAAUUGUACAAUCCAAUGACAAAGAAGGUGAUUGUUAGUUGUGAUGUUACAUUUGUCGAAGAUGAGGAAUGGCAAUGGAAUGCAACAGUUGAAAUUGAUUAAAAAAAAACGAUAUAUUUACGUUUUGAACGAUGAUGUGGAAGAUGGAGUCACUCUUGAAGCACCUGCAGUUCAACCAGAAGCUGCAAUUCAACCUGAAGUUGCAAAUCCAAUUGCAACUAUGAUGGAGCGACCAAGAAGGCAGCAACGACAACCUGUACACCUUCAAGAUUGGCGAAGUAAAUCUUGAUGAUGAAGUUGAUGACAAUGGAGAUUUGGUUCACUUUGUUUUUCUUGCAGAUUCAGAACCCAUGAGACUUGCAGAUGUCAUUCAACACCCCAAAUGGCAGAAGGCUAUGAAUGAAGAAUUGAUGGCGAUUGAGAAAAACAAUAUCAUGACUCAAAUUUGUUUUAAUCCAGAUAUUCCAAUUAAGAUUUAUGUUGACAAUGUCUCUGCAAUUAAUCUUGCAGAGAAUCCAGUUUUUCAUCAAAUAAGUAGUCACAUUGAUAUUCGAUAUCACUUCCUGCGAGACCAAGUUAAGAAGAACAUGAUCAAAUUGGAAUACUACAGAUCAGAAGAUCAGAUUGCAAAUAUUUUCACUAAGCCAUUGAAGAUCAAUGCUUUCAUCAAGUUAAGAAAUCUGUUGGGUAGGAAGGUUGCUCCAAAUCAGAAUUAAGGGAGGAUGUUGGUUAUUAAUUCUGAUUUUAUUAUUAUUAAUUCUGAUUUUAUUAUGCUUAAACUAUUUUACCGUUAUUAUUGCAUUAAUGGUCAGUUAGUAUUCCUAUUUUAUAACUUCCAGUAUUUGUAAUUUUAUUAUAUAUAUUAUAUAUAUUAUUGAGUAAAUCAAAAUAUAUGAUACCAGCUCAACAGUUUUGCAAUCUUGUGCAAUUACCUUCAAUCAGUUUCUACAACAUUUUGCCUUCUCUUAUUUCCUUCAAUUAGUUCCUACAAAUGAGAAUAUAAUUAAUAUAAUUAUUUAAUAAGAAACUUAUAUACCACCUCAAGUUAUUUUGGAGUCAAAAUAUUAUAGGAAUGGUUAUCAAUGAAUGAUUUACUAAAAGUGGUAAAUUUUCUUGAGGUUUUAUGAAUGUGAAACCUAAAUAUGUAAAUUUUGAUAGUCAAAAGACUAAUCCCUUUAAGAAUUAAUAUAUUUCAAUAAAAGUGAUUGGAUAUGGUUUUAGUUUGGAGUCAACAACUUAAAGAGACUUGUGUCAAUGUGUAAUCUAUUCUAAUCCACAUAGGUUGAACUCCUAUUAAGGAUACAUAAAUUUUUAAUCUGAUCAACAAGCUAAAGAGAUUGUAUUAAAAAUAUUUCAGUAGUCUAACAGUGGUUGCGAAUUCACGUGAUAUGUGUAGCUCUCAAAGUAAAUAACUUGUUUUCCAAGCUAUCCAAAGAGAUCAAUAUACUUGUCUCCCAAGAGAUUUAUUACUACCCAUGUCAUUUAGACACAAAUAUUUAUGAUAUUGGUAAAAUUAAAAAAAAAUAACUUUACCUACAAAUAGUUAAAAUAUUUGAAAUAAGUGAAGUAAAUGAAUAAUAUAAAUUUAUUCAGAGAUUAUUUAUUAUGAUAAACCUAAUUUAUUUUAAAAGAAUAUAUGACUAAUACAUUUUUUACUUACUCAAAUAUAGUUUAAUUUAUUUUAAAAAAAAUCCAAAAGCUAAAACUUUAGAACAUAAUAUUUUAAAUGUUUUACUUUACACGUGUAAUCCUUAACUAUUUAAAUGUUAUACAAUUAUUAUAGAUAUAAUAACUAUUUUAAAGAAAAUAUUUUAUUUAUUUUAUACAUUUUUCUUACAACAACAAAAUAAAAACCAUAGAUAAAUCCCACUCUUUUAGUGUUUUUUUUUUCUUUCUCUUUUCUCAAUUUGCCAAUUUGCCGUCAUUGUUGAAGAUCUCACCCACUAAUCAAAGUCAUAUUUGAUGUGAAUGUUCUCUUCAAUUCAAAGUUUAUCUUAAUAUUAUGCUAAACUUAGACUUAGUCUAAACCUUACUGACUUGAUUUCAACUUUUCUUUAUAUUUCUUCUUUUUAUACAUAACUUUUCAAACUUUUAAUCUUACACAAAAAGCAUGUCAUUCUUCUCUGACAACAUUUUAUUUCAAUUUUUCUUGAUGGUGUGCUUCAUUUGAAAUUUCAUUUUACUUUAUAUUUCAAUUUUGCUCAUAAGUUAUGAUUGGAGUUUAUUCUAAUUUUUUCCAGUGUCUUAAUAUUUUUCCAUAGUGUGUUUGAUUUUUUAAUUUUCUAUGCAAAAAUUAGUGUUAAUAAUUGUGUCUAACUUUUCUUGUACUCUGUCCUUUAGUUUGAAUGCUUCAUCCUCUGUUCUGCUUCUAAUUUUUCUUAUAUUUUAUCCUGUGUUUUGAAUGCUUAAACUUUUACACUUGUUUUAACCUGUUUUGCUAUUAAUUGUUGUUUACUUGUUGUGAUAUAAGGUUUGCGUGAUUAGUUAGUUGAUGGCAUACAAGUAAUGAAGAACUUUUAAGUAACACAGUUAGUUAAUACUCAAUUAUUAAAAUAUUGCAAGACAUUUCUUAAAAGUGUUUUAUGUUUUAUGUAAUUGUAUUUACCUAUAAUGAAGUUGAUAGCGAAAGAAAUAUUUAAUACUUUUUUUUUCUUUUUUUUUUCUUUUGGAAGGAAUCGAGGGAUACAAACUAUAUCUUCAUAUAUGGAAAAUUAAUUUAGUUAUAUCAGUUGCUAAGUGAAGAUCAAGAUCAUUUGUUUAUUAGUGUGUACGUAUUGAUGUGUUUUGGGAUUAUUAAAAUUUGACGUGUUUGAUAAAGAGUGAUUUAUUCAUAAGUAAACUAUGUUUUGGGAUUAUUAAAUUACGUAUUGAUACUUUUAUUUUCGUGAGGGGAAUGCAUGUGCUGAUAAGUUGACUAAUUUAGGGUUCAUUCAUAGAUAAUCAUUUUAUUGGUAUAAUAGACUUCUAUCUAGUAUGUUCUUAGAAUUCUUUAUGAAUAGGUAUAGUCUACCUAUGUAUCGUUUUUGUUAACAUGUGAGUUUUGGUCUAAUCCUCCCAUAUUUUGGUAUUUUUUUUCUUUUUUUUAAUAAUAUGUUUUUCAUGUGAUGGCAGAUGAUUGUUGUUACUUGAGGUGUCAGCCUAGCUGAGAUGUCAAGUUGCAUAAUGAUGUCUAACAUGGAAAAUUUUAUAAAAAAUAAAAAAACAAAAAAAAACUAUGGUUUUUGUUAUUGAGAAAUUGUUUUUAAGAAAGUGUUGAUUACAAAUUACUAUUUUUUUUAAAAAAAAAUUGUUUUGAACAUCGUAACAUCUUUUUAAUGAAAAAUAUUUAUUGCAUAUAGGGGCUUUUAACAAGUUUGGAAUUGAGUGGAAAUUGGUGUUGGUUUAUGUUGCAAGUUGAUGGUUGAAUCAUAUUCAUAGAUAGAGUUGGUACUUUUUAAUAAUGUAAUUUAGUAUAUUAUUGAUAUUUUAAAAUGAUAAAGAGUGUGUGUAUAAUCUCAAUAAUAUAUGAUUUAAAUGUAUUAAAAAUUGAACUUUAAACAUAAAUCAACUUUAAAAAAUCGACUCAUAAGUUAAGGUUUGCACUUACUUAUAUAUUAUGAAAUGUUUUUAUCUUUGGUCGAUGUAGGAUUUUCAACAUUUCCCUUCACGUCAAGAUCUAUCAAUUCGUGUGUGAAACUAUAUAUUUAUAGGUGGUCAGAUAGCAACCGACCUUAUAAGUCUAACAAACUCUCAUUAGGAUAAACUGUAAAUGACUCUAAUACCAUAUUAAGAAGUGAAUUUUAAGCUUAAUUCAAUUUUAUAAAAUCAAUUCAUAAGGUAAUAUUUACACUCACUUAUAUAAUAUGAAAUGUUUUUAUUUCUAGUCGAUCUGAAAUCUCGAACAAAAUGUGAAAAUAUUCAAUUUUACAAGUAUGAUUAUUAUAAUUAUUAAAUAGGAGAGAUAUGAUUAUUAAGAUCUCAUUACUUGUAUUAUAAAAAAAACCCACGAACUAAAUUUUGUAUUGAUAAAAACUUGAGGAUUGUGGUUGAAAAGGCAGAACAAUUGUAAGAAUUAUCUUUUCAAGCAUAAUACAAAGUAUUUCUUUGUAAUUGAUAAAAAUUUAAACUGACACAUCAAAUAUUUAAAUUAUAUUAUUGAAAAUGGGUUCAUAGAUGAUUUAAAGAAGUAUAUGGUACAAGUUGAAAAUUUAAGAGGUUUUAAAGCAAUAAUAAUCAUAAAAUUUGGAGGAAUGACGUCCAUUCAAAAGUGAUAGGAUGAAAAAAGAAAGACAUGUAUGUUGUUUUAAUAGACUUCCACCAACUAAAUAUUUAAAUAUCUCAUCUCAAAAUUCUAUAACAGAGAAUAAGAUUAACAAUUUAGAAAAGAUUUUUAAAAAUCUUUUAUCUUUUCUUUAGAAAACAUUUUUAAAAAUCUUUUAUCUUUUCUUUAGAAAACAUUUUUAAAAAUCUUUUAUCUUUUCUUUAAACAUGAUGAGUGGUAAUUGUUCUUGCCAACAAUGUGGAAUCACAUCUUCAAGGUAGUCUCCGAACAAUCUUUCGGUAUUGUAGUCCUUGAGUGCUUGAAGAUCACCAAGUGAUGAGGGGAGCUCCACUCGUUGACAAGACUUCGACAAUCAAAUCAGUGAGAACAUUAAAUAUUUCAAUGUAGUAUGUAUUGCAUAGAAUAAUACUUGUCUUUGUUUGGGGACUCAUGACCCUUAUAUAGGACUCGUAGAUCCUUUUUUAGGAGUUUGUAAUCAGACACUUCCUUUGAACUUUUAGUUACACGAUUCGAUUUGUUGGACUCGAUCCGACUGACCCGAAAACGUCUAUUGAGUCCGAUCCAUUGGACCGAAAACACCCGAUCCACAUUAUCGGGUUCUACCCCGAUCUUGACUGAACGAUACAGUAAUAUACAAAUUGUAAAUAAAAAAUAAAAAAUAUAGUAAUUACAUUUAAUCAUCUAUAAAAAAAUUUAAUACUAAUAUGAUAUUUUAAAAAGAUAUUUUUUUCGGAAACACUUGAUGAUGAUGGAAGGAUUGAAAUUAUUCUAAUAGUAAUGUUUAAACACAGUAAAAAAAAGUCAAGUGAUAUGAUAAUGAUUGAAAAUUUACUUUUAAAUACAAUUAUCAUUUUUUACUAUAAGAUCAAUUUUUUUAAUGUGAUUACAUAUAUUUUAUAAAUGAUGUGGAUUUUUAUGGCCUGUACACAUCAUUAAUGAGUGAGAUAAUAUGUUUAAUCAUUUGCCAUUUAAUUUUUAGUACUUUCAAUGAACAAAUGAGAUUCAUAUGUAAGAAAUUUAGCAUCGAUUAUGACUCAUAGGACACAAAAUGUAUUUCAUUGAGUUGAGUGUGGUAUUUCAAUACCUAAUUAAUAUUUUUUUUGUCAUUAGUAAUUUGGUAUUGAUUUAAAAUCGAAAUUGUUGUUGACUAUUAAGAUUUAUUUGCUUUUGUAACUAUUAUGUUUUCCUCUUAUAAAUUUUGUUUAUAUUUUAGAUUAUAAAGUUGUUGUAAAACAUUGCAAAAACUUUUCUUAGUGGUUUUUAUCUAGUACAAUCAUUUAUAUUUUAGUGGACUUUUAUUGAAUUGAAUACACCCUACUCCAAUAGCCUAUGACGAGUCACACAAAUUUCAUUUGACAACAAAGAAUCUAUAGGGACAAAAAGUGGAACUUAUAGAGAAUCUUUAAAUUCAAAUUGAUAUUUUGAAUAAGUGAACAAAAAGUUAAACCCAUUUAUUAUAGCCAUUGUUUCCAAAAAUAUUUAAUAGUGAAUAUUUGAGCAAAUAAUGUAGAAUGUAUUAUAGCUAAAGACAAACAUCAUAUUAUUGUUUGGUACACGGAAAAUGUUAUAUUAUCACAAUUAUCGGUAUAUAUUAAUAAAUUUAUUCUCAAAAUUUUAACUAAUAAAUUUAUUCCACCAUUUUAUACAUGGACUAUAAUGAUAGAUUGUUAAAUGCCCUUAAAAUUUUACAUCACACUUUAUAUAGUAAAAAUAUUAUCAUGAUAUCUAUUACAAUGAAAGAAUGACAUAAACAAAAAUAUUUUGGUAUUAAAAUAUUAACGAAAAAUAAUAAAUUAUAUGGUAUUAUUAGUAAAGUAAGGAACUAAAAAUUAUUGAAGUUUUUGUGGAAUAAACUCAUACGGAAUAAUAUGUCAAAAAAAUUAAUUGAACUUAACAAUUGUUUUUUAUUAGCUAUAAGAAUGAAAUUAAUAAAGAUAUAUAUUUUAGAGAUAUAUUAACCUUAUACAAAAUCAUCAUUAUCAAACUUUCAUCUUGCAUUAAGUCUAUAAUGAUAUUAUACUCAAAACAGAUUAAUCAUACUAAAAACCACAACAUAAUCUAUUAAUCCAAACUUCUUAAAAAUGAUGUUCUUCUCAUAUUGAAUAUAUAGUUUUUAUUGAAGUUAAUAGUAACUCAUCAUGAUUAAAAAACAUGUUGUUUAGAGUUAAUUUUGUUUGAUAGACAAUUAUAUCAUCUAACUAUAUUACUUUAUUGUGUAAUUCCACUAUAUUGAUAUAAGUCUCAAUUUGAUGUACGGGAAAAGAUAGAAAAGAAAGAAAUGGGAGGAGUACAUUUGUUUAGUUAAUUAAAAAAGCUAAAUAAAUAUGUUUAAAAAAUUGUGAAACUGUGAAGUAUAUGAUAAGAAAAUCUGAACUUGUAAAUAUUUAUAACUAAAGUCUGCAAAAAGUAUAAAUAUUUUAAUUAUUUAUUUGUUAAAAGAGUGAAUAUGGAUAUCAUGCUAUUUAGUUAGCGAAUGUUCACUGUCCAUUAUUAAUUAUUUUUAUUUGAAUAUAUUUUUUAAUUAAGCAAUUGAGUAAAAUUAUUAACGAGAAAACAUUAAAAAUUGAUGAAUUAUUUAUAACUUAAUUUUAUAAAUGUAUAGUUUUUAUUUAGACUUGUGGAGCUAAAAUUAUCUUCAAAAGAUUAAUUUUAUUUAAAGUUAUAUUGUGAAGAAUUUUUUUAGAAUGAUUAAUUUUUUUCUAAUAAUAGCUUAUGAAACAUUUUUAUUAUAAUUAUACAUUAAUAUCAAUAUUUUAUCUUAUUUUAUUUUAUGUUUUAAAGAAUAAUUUUUAAAUAAUAUUAUUUUCUUAAAAGAAGGAUCCACGUGUAUCUAUUGAAAUAGGCAAGUAUUUUAAAUAACAUUAUAUUUUUUUAGUAGAAAUACUUCUUCAUAAGAUUUAUUUAUAAAUAACAAGUCACUUUAGAUAUGGUUAUCUCCUACUUCCAUAUCAAUGUAGACUCUUAUAUGUGUGACGUCAUUUAUUAUGAACUUGAAAUGUACUAUCUUAAGUGUAUCCUAUAGAAAACACCAUCACAUUCAAGUCAAAUAAUAUAAAAAUUAAGUAAUAAAUGAAUAAUACAUAUUUUGAGAUCUUCACCAUUAACUUUUAUUUAUAUCGAGUAUCGGUGGUUAAAUAUGACUUUAGUAUUGAGUUAAGAUUUUAAUAAUAAAAAUAUAGUGUAAGGGAAAAUAAUGUUAAUAUUUUAAUACUUUUGCGUGUUGAAAGAAAGAAAACAAAUCUAAAAAUAACUAUAGUUUAAACUUCGUUAAUUUUAAUAAAAAGCAUCUUCAAAACCGUAUUUAGUAGUAUAUAUAAUUGUAUUAUUUCCAGUUAUUUAUUUUAUUUUGUAGAUGCUUUCUAAAUUUAAAGGAAGAACCCAGACUUUAACCAAAACAUAUUUCUAUCCAAAAUAAAUGUAUGGUUAUGGGAAAAAAUAGCCUACAAUUGAUCAUACAAUCCAUUCAUUAAAUAAUGGAGUACAAUACAAUGUGCUAUAAUGAACCCAACAACGUCUUGUUCUAGGUUUUGUAUAUUCAGUCAUUGAUUUCUAAAUUUUUAUAUGAAUGUUUACAAUAAUAUUUCAAGGUCAAGUUAGUACUUCCUCCGAAUAAAGAAUAUAAAGUAAAAAAAGUUAAGAAUUCAUUAAUUAAUACUUAGUUUGAAGAAAAAACAUAUAAUAAAAAGUUAUAUAUUUAUUAUUUUCAAUUCACCUAUUUAUAACGGUAUUCUUCUAGUUAAGAAGAAUGUCUUCCAACUAAAGAUUUAGUUUAGUCAAAAAUAGUUAUUUCCAACUAAAUUGUAGUUCUGUCUCAUACCAUCAUCUUCCUCUUUUAUUUAAUAAUUAUUUCUCUAUUAUAGUAUUUGUCUCAUUCUUAGAUACAUUCUUAGAUUAAUUACAAUCUCGCAUAUUCAGUUAAUGUUUGUCACUUUCAAUAAAAAAAAUAAAAAAAAAUUUCAUUAUUUUAAUAAAUAGAUCAAUAUCAUAACCGUUUUCAUCUAUUAUUGGAAUCGACUUAUGAUCUCACAGUUCUCAAAUUCCAACAUAAUCCAAUGAGACUAAUAAGAUCAUGAAGUAAUUAAUUAUAGGAUGUAUCUUAAAUUUUGACUGAAAUCCAUACCAUUGAGGUUGAUGCAAAAGUUCACAUAUACUAUUAUACCUCAUCUAUAGAAAUGAUUAAUUGAGAUCCAAAUAGACUUAGAUGCGCUUAAUCAUAAUUUAUAUAUUGUUUACUUUACUCUACUUAUUAAUUAUAUUAUUACACCCUUAAUUUCACUUUAGAGAUACUUGCAUCAUUCAGUGGUGAGAUGUUGGGAUAUCGAGUGUGAUAUCGACACCUCAUAUAUUCCGGUACAAUGCAUUUGAGGAAAAUAAAAACCGAUCAUAUGUAUAAUUUUUUGUUUUCUUCCAUGCUUGGUUGUCACUUAGGUCAAUUCAGCACGAACCAACAUACUCCAUUUCAUCUUCUCAUAAAUCGAAGACAAUAAUUCCAGGAAAUGAAAAUGGGGUAUGUUAAUAAAGAAAAAAAAUAAGAGAAAAUUGCACAUAAAUAAAAUUCAAUUGAGUUCUUAAAUUACAAUGAUAUUGAAAAGAGUAGAAAUAUAUAGUUAAUUUGGUGAAUAAACAAAGUAGGUUGGAAAAAUGCGAUGAAAGCAUGAUAAGAUAGUUGUGGUUGUCUGUGGAAAUGCGAAACCCCUCUUUCUUGUUUUGUUUUGCACAUAUUUUACAAGCAAAUCCGACAAACAGAAAGAAUUGCAUAAGUCCAAACCUACUGGUAUUAUUUAGACGUUAAUAAUUGCCAGCUUUUGCCAGCUCCUACUUCAUCAUUAAAAUAUAAUUUAAAAAAAUAGACACAGAAACAGUAGUGAAGACUUUGCUCCUCAGUCCCAAAAAAUGACAACGGGAUACACUGGAUUUCCACACUUUCUCACAUGCUCGUCUUUUUCAUUUUCUGCCACGUGUAUUGUAAUGUAGCAAGGUCCCUCUGGUUCCAGCUGCGCAAACCUCACUCUCUUCCUUCAUCAUCAUCAUCAUCAUCAUCUUCUACCACUACAGCCACAAUAAACAUGCAUACCGUAUUUUUUCUUUUCAAAUAUUAUACGUAUACUUUUUGAUAUUUUAUUUCCGUUUGAGUUGAGUAGUUGUUCUCCAUUUGCAACGGUUACCUAAUAUUAUUCUCUGUUUCCAUCUACCCCAUUAUCAACUACGUAUUGCAUAUAAAACAUUAGCGAUAAUGAAAGAAAGGGUCAUGUAUCUGCUUUCUCAAUCAUUAAUGCAAAAUUACCGAAUUUAAUGAUGUUACCAUUACGAAUGGAGAAAGGGUCAAACCAAAAAUAAAAAGUGCACCUUUUCAACUGGCGGACAAAGGACGAGACACGAGUGGCAUCAACGCGGGUAAAGCACCCCGCGUUUUACUACCAGACGGAACCCAUCAACGGGCUAUAAAGGACACACGUGUGAGUUCUAGAUCAACGGUCAAAACACAAGGGCACUCUAGUAAUAUCGUUAAACGACUUUAUGAGUUGUUGAAAAGUUAUGGUCUUUCCGAGGAAAGAAAAAGUAAAAAAUAAUAAUAAAAAUGGAUUUUUUUUCAUUAUUUUCAUAGUACACAUUUUGUUUUCAUUAAUGGAAUUUUAAAUUGUAUUAUUUUUUGUUGUUAGAACAAACAGAGGGCUAGAGUGAAAAUAAAUUUAACGGGGAGAGGAGAGAGAGUGGGAAGCAUAUGAGAAUAGGAAGAUGGGUGGAAAAAACGCCGUACAGAGGGGUGGCGGAUGACAGCGACUGCUCACUGACCCACAUAACUGACACGUGUCCUGACGCAAAAGGGUGUGGAGGUAAUAUUGAGCAAGCAUAAUGGAGAAAAAGGCAAAGAAGGAACACACAUUAACAAAAAUCAAUUGGGCAGAAGAUCCACAUAUGCCAGCUAAUAUUUUGCACAUUUACAGAAAGAGAGGAAAAAUUGUAGUAGAGGCGGAAGAAAGUUGAAAUGAAGAUAAAAUAAAAAAAAAGAAUAAAGAAUAAAAAAGUGGGAAUGGAGAGUUAAGUGUUGACCCAUUAUUAUUACUCACAUCACACCGGCCUGACCUAGUCCAGGGUAUUAGGGAAGAUGAGGAAUGGGGACAGGCAGCAUAGAAGGAGUAGAUGCACAUCACAACAUAUAAAAAUAUUAAUAUAUAUAGUAAGGUUGGGAAAAUAAUGAGAUAAAAAAAAUUGUGUGUGAGCAUAUAGAAGGAAAUUAAAUUAGGACAUUGGAGUUGGAGGAAUCUUUGAGCAUUAUUGAUGCAUUAAUCGCCACUCCUUCAACGGUUCAUAUCUUACCUCUUUUUAUAUAUUCUGUUCCCUUAUCAUCUUCCACUGCUCAACUCUCUCUCUCUCUCUCUCUAACACAAGCUUCCGUUUUUCUGUUUCUCUUCUCUCUACUCAGAACAUGGGUUCUUCUGCAGUACAAUUGUUUCUCAUCUUGGGGCUUCUGGCUACUUCUUGCAUAGCACAAGCCCCAGGUGGCGCACCCACGCAGCCUCCCACAACCACCCCACCACCACCGCCCGCAGCAGCACCAGUACCUGCACCCACUGCACCCGCAACUCCACCACCAUCUUCACCACCACCUGCACCCACACCCGCACCCACACCAACUGCUCCCACUCCUGCUCCAGCUUCUUCUCCUUCAUCUGCUGCAUCUCCCUCAGCUGAGUCACCAGGCUCUCCUACAUCUCCCCCAGCACCACCGGCCCCCUCAUCUGCACCUUCACCCUCAGUCAGCGAACCACCACCCUCACCCUCCUCCGCAUUCUCCGUUGGCAAGGCCUUCGUUGCCGGGUCUGCGCUCGCGGGAACCUUCGUAGCCAUGGUCUUGGCUUGAAGACAGACCUGACGGUUGGGAUUCGUCCACGUGGAGGCUCUUGGGCCCUUGAUCUUGUUUUACAGCGACGGACGGACGGACGGGAUCUGUUUCAUUUAUUUUAUCCUCUGGUCUUGUUGAGUAGCGGUUUUCUUUUUCUCUCUUUGGGGUUUUAUGUGUUAGUUUUGUUCGUUCGUGGUUGAUGUGUUUGUUGAUUCGAUAUCUGGGAGGGUUGGGUGUUGAUGAUGAUGAUGAUGAUGAUGAUGAUGGUGAUGGUAUUCAUGAUUAUGAUGAUUAUUUUGUGAUUCAUUGUUCUGGUGUUCACACGUGUACGUAGAUGACCUUGAUGAUUUCAUUGUACAUCUAAUAAUUGAAAGAAUAAAACAGUUUGUCAUUCUUUUUACUUACAAUCUUGUUCC
RNAcentral lists this long non-coding RNA (78573 nucleotides) under Phaseolus vulgaris (common bean). RNAcentral describes it as "long non-coding RNA (PVUL_LNC004533)". The record is from RNAcentral. Lineage: Eukaryota; Viridiplantae; Streptophyta; Magnoliopsida; Fabales; Fabaceae.